UUCCACAACUGGCACCGGCGGAUGACCCAGCUUCUUAAAGGGUGGAAUCUUGAAGAUUGGAACUGGUGGAGCGAGUGGCUUCUUGAAGAUUGGAACUGGGGGUGGAAAUGGCUUCUUUACAGUGGGAAUCUUACGUAGAGGUGGUUUCUUGAAGGAGGGCUUCGGUGGAAAUGGCUUCUUUACAAAGGGAAUCUUAUGUACAGGUGGUUUCUUGAAGAAGGGUUUUGGUGGAAGCACUGCAAACUUCCUUUCUUCAUUGAGCUCUGCAGCCUCUGUUUGGAGCUCUUCAAUUUGGACAUGCAGGUGCACAAGAGAUGCAGAAGAAUGUCAUUAUGUGAUCUCAAGACUAAUAUAUAAUAACACACAUAUAAAUAUAUAUCUCACCUGAAAAAGCUUUGUCUGGUACUACUUUCUCCAGCGACCUCAACAGUCUCUCCAUUGCUGUAGCAGAAGCUUACUGCAAACAAGCAGAACCAGAGCCCCAGAAGAGCUCCUUGGAAAGCAGGACGGGUCUGCAUUGAAACCCUUCUUAAUAAGCUGCCACUUAUAGAAGUGCUUAAUCCAACUUUUAAAAUUUGGUUAAGCUAGCUUUGGUGCUUUUUAUCAGUUGCAGCAGGCAUGCUAUAAAUAGUAAGUUUAGGAGGCUUAGGUCUGCUUGCACUUAAUUAUUAAUUAAGGGGUUGAUAUCAAGGUCAUUAAGAUUGAAAAGGAUUUUAGUACAUAGAGGCAAACAUGUCACUGGCUUUGCAGCUCAAAUGGUAUUUAUUUCAUCCAAUGACAACUGCUACGUACCAGCACAGCUGUUCUGAUAGUUCAAGUUUGUCAAAUGGCAUCAAUGCUGACUAAGAAGUAUCAAAGGAUGCCAUCACUAACUAUGAAGUCACACAUUUUGUCAUUUGGAUACUAACCAAAGCUUAAUUUGUCAUGUCAUGCUUUUGGGGGUAUAUUUGGUGAUCCUUUAGAAUCAUAAAAUCCAAGCUCUUACGUACUCCAUGUGAGAAAUGACAUUUUUACUAAUUUGUAAUCGGAACGAGAGUGAGGAGUCGGAAUCAGUCAUUCCCACUAGAGUCACCAUUAUUUGUUUCCAAUUUUUCUUCACCUAGUAUACUGUUGGGAAUAAAUAUUAUUUUUAUUAUUAUUUAUGUUUACUCUAAAAUAUCCAAGCUUUAGAGAUGGGCUUGAGAAUGAAUGAGUUGCAAACGUGCCACUAUUAGUAGUGUAAAAAUCCUAAUAAACUUGAAAGAAUUAAGUAUAUUACGCACUAAGAAACUGACUUAAAAUCAAAUGAUUGUGAAUUGGAAGGGAAACUAAUCAAUGAAGAUUGAUAGAAAUAUGUUUUGGACACUUUUAUGUACAUAACCCCUUACUCUUUUCCUCACACAUAAGAAUGAGUUUAGUAAUUAAAUAUCAGGCAAAUAAAAUUACUUAUGCAUAACUACAAAUUAUGGCAAGGCAAAUUUGUAUUAAGUUUGACUUGUGAGCAUGGAAAUAUCAAUUGGAAGUUGGUUUAGUUAGACAUCAGACUUUGACUAAUCAAAUUGAAAGUGAACUGCAUUAGUAACCGGUGACAUUAUUGAGGCACGUCCUCUUCUUGGAACUAUAUGGUCCCCAAGUUCUAUUAUUGAGGCACGUCCUCUUCUUGGAACUAUAUGGUCCCCAAUUGAGGCAUGUCCUCUUCUUGGAACCAUAUGGUCCACAAGUUCUAUUAUUGAGGCAUCUCCUCUGUCCUCUUCUUGGAACCAUAUGGUCCCCAAGUUCUAUUAUUGAGGCAUGUCCUCUUCUUGGAAUCAUAUGGUCCCUAAUUGAGGCAUGUCCUCUUCUUGGAACCAUAUGGUCCACAAGUUCUAUUAUUGAGGCAUGUCCUCUGUCCUCUUCUUGGAACCAUAUGGUCCCCAAGUUCUAUUAUUGAGGCCUGUCCUCUUCUUGGAACUAGGAAAACCGGUGCAUAAUUACCAGUUGAGCUUGAGAAAUAGUAACGUCAUUGAGCCUGGUCUUGACGAAUUUUGGGUUGCAAGAUUAAAUCUUCAAGUCAUAUUCAAUUUGUAAAGUUUGUUAGAUUUUUUUAUAUGCGUGCUCAGGAUCUUUCACACAAUUUGAAAUACGUAAAGACAUACCUGGCGCCAUCAUUCUUGAGUACACAACCUCUGAACUCAUUCAACCGUAGCAGCAACAAUCCCAGCAAGAACAGGAACGGCUCAAGACUUCUGCUCUCUCUCAGAAUCUGUUUCAACUAUCUCUUUAUGAUGAAAUUAGGGUUAGAGAACGUGUCUGACGAGAGCAGGGCCUUAAGCUUAUAUAGACUAGGUCAAGUCGUCUCUACUCAUCACCAAGGGCCGGCUUAACUAAUCUUCCAAGCCCACCAAGCAACGGUUCACGCAAAAGGAAAUAAAUAGGACCCCUUAAUAGGCUUCAAAACCUUUCCUUAUUCCACAAGGUUUUGGGCCUUAAGAUAUAACCUAAUUUAAACUCUUAUCAAAACUUGAUAUAACUUAGUAUCUAGUGUACCGAUCUAAAUAGGAAACAUAACAUUCUCCCACUAGAUCAAGCACUAGAGCACUACGCUUCUGUAUUCCAAAAGGCUUGAUAAUUUUUAUUGGCCAUGAGUUUAAAUUAGUUAAGUCAUUUCCUUCAAGCUACAGUGAAAAGUGAUUAGACAAAACGAACUAUAGACAUGCACUGCUCUCUUUAUUGAAAACAGGCCAUCUAUAAUCACAUAAUGCAAUCUCAAAACACAUGAAGCAGCUACCAACGCGAACCUUAAUAUGUACUGAUCCGUAAUGUGAAUCUUUAUGCUUUCAGUACAUGUACCCCUUUACGACUUAGCAAUAGUCAACCUGCAAUGUUAUUAAAACAAUAGUAUCUCAAAAGAGACCAUAAACUCACAUGCAUAAACAAAAUUACGUAUUAAGUUUAAACAGCUAAAUAGUCAAAAUGGUAGAAUUUAUUCAAUAAUAAAUAAAAUUGUCAACCAAAUUAACAUUCUUAAAUGCAAAUCCCUUAAUCCAGAAAACAGCAAAAAUAAACAUACUAGUAAAAUAUCAGAAUGGAAACAAGACUCCAACUAAAUUGUAGCAUCAAAGCUAGGAAAUAAUCCCAUGCUCUCAACAUGUCUUGGAAAAGUUUCUGAAGGCAAAAACUUUGUGAACAGAUCUGCAAUCAUAUCUUGAGUUCUGAUACGAUCAAAUAUGACUAGUUUGUCUACUACCUCCUCCUUCACUGUUAAAUAUUUUCUAUCAAUAUGUUGAAGUCCAGACGACAUCUUAUUGUUCAUGCAGUGAAAAACAGCCAUAGUGUUGUCAUUAUAUAUCAGUAUUGGUCUAGAAAUCGAGUCCCCGACCUUAAUGUCUUUAAUAAAAUUCCUUAGCCAUACUGCAUGAGAAGUGGCUUCAUAGCAAGCUACGUAUUCUGAAAACAUGGUUGAACUCGAAAACCAUAUUGUUUAGCACUCUUCCAAGCAAUAGCUGCUCCUGCUAUCUUGAAAAGAAAACCUGAAGUAGAGAUGUAAUCAUCCUAUGCUUUUCUAAGAUUCGCAUCAGCAUAACCAACAAGCUCUAAAUUCUUCGUGCAUUUGUAAAUCAACAUAUAAACCUUUGUUUUAUGCAUGUACCUCAAAAUCUUCUUUCCAGCUAUCCAAUAUUGCAUUCCCGGAUUUGACUGAAAUAUCCCCAUUUUGCUAAUGCACAAGGCUAGGUUUGGCAUUGUACACACUUUUGCGUACAAAAUGCUUCCAACUAGAGAAGCGUACUGCUUGUUCCUCAUCUCAUCUUCUUCUUCUUCUUUAUUCUUGGGGCAAUACUCCUUCUUUAAAUCUCCUUUAGCUAAAGGAACUUUCUGUCCAGAACACAUUCUCAUGUCAAAACUAUCCUUUCAAUGUAUGUUUUCUGUGACACGCCUAGUAGGCCUUAAGCUCGGUCUCUCUGAAUUUCAAUGCCUAACACAAAAGCGGCUUCUCAAAAUUGUUUGAAAGUAGCUCCUUAGUGUGUUUCAGUAAAUUGUGGUCAUUUGUAGCCAAAAGUAUAUCGUCAACAUACAGCAUUAUAAAAAUAAAUCGGCUCCCACACUUCUUCAGAUCAAUCCAUUGAUCGGCUAUGUUAUCUUCAAAACCAUAAGAUGAAACAGUUUGAUGGAAUUUGAAAUACCACAUCCUGCUUGCUUGCUUCAGUCCUUAAAUUGCCUUGUCAAGUUUGCAAACCAUAUGUUCUUUUCUCUCCUUUGCAAACUCUUCAGGUUGCCUUAUAAAAUUUUCUUCUUUGAGUUCACUAUUCAGGAAAGCAGUUUUUACAUCCAUUUGAUGUAAAAGUAGGUCACAAUGCACCACCAAAGCCAUAAUGAUGCGGAAAGAAUCUUUGGUGGAAACUAGAGAAAAUGUCUCAGUGUAGUCAAUUCCCCCCCUUUGGUGAGUCCUUUUGCUACCAAUCUAGCCUAAAAUCCUUCGAUUCUUCCAUCCUUAUCCUUCUUUGUUUUGAAUACCCAUUUCGAGCCUACCAAUUUCUGGCUCUUGUGAGGUUCAACUAAUUCCCAUACUUGAUUAUUCUUCAUGCUUUCGAGUUCAUUCAACAUUGCUUUUCUCCAUUUGUCUGCAUUCAUUCGAGUUCAUUCAACAUUGCUUUUCUCCAUUUGUCUGCAUUCAGACUCUCCAUAGCUUCUUUAAAACUUGUUGGAUCAGCCUCAUCUCCAAUGUCAAAAUCUGCUUCCUGUAAGUACACAUAAUCCGAAAUUGUUGUGGAUUUUCUUGUUCUAUCAGAUCUCCUUAAUUGCAUUGGUUCAUGUGAAUUUUCUUGUUGUGGGUUUUUUGCAGUUUGUUCUUCUUGUUGUUGAUCAACUAGUUCUUCAUACUGAACAACCAGUCCCAAUAAUCCGAGUAUUAUAAUUUGGACAGUAUAAUUAUAAAUUUUUUAAAAAAAACUUAAAAUCUAAUUCAGGUACCAUAAUUUGGAUGGUAAAAUCUAGAACCAUUUGACCUUGUAGGAUAACCAAUAAAAUGACAGCAAAUCAUUUCAGGAUCAAGCUUCUUCUCUUGAGGGUUAUAGAUUCUAACUUUAACUUUGCAACCCCAUACAUGAAGGUGCUGCAGGUUAGGCUUUCUGGAAGUCGAAAUUUCAAAAAAAUGUCUUAGGUACGACGUUAUUAGGCACUCUAUAGUUUCUUGUUUUGAUCGCCUCUCUUAAAAGCGUAGGCAAAUCAGCUUUGGAAAUCUUCCUAAAAACCAUGUCCUUCAAAGCUCUAAUACCAACUGUUAGAUUUCUUUAUCUGAAAUACAUAAAGGCAUACCUGGCACCAUCUUUCAUGAGUACAUGACCUCUAAACUCAUUCAACCGCAACAGCAACAAUCCUAGUAAGAAUAGAAACGGCUCAAGACUUCUGCUCUCUCUCAGAAUCUGUUUCAGCUCUCUCUUUAUAAUGAGAUUAGGGUUAGAGAACGUAUCAGACGAGAGCAGGGCCUUAAGCUUAUAUAGGCUAGGUCAAGUCGUCUCUGCUCAUUACCAAGGGUCGACUUGACUAAUCUUCUAAGCCCAUCAAGCAACGGUUCAUGCAAAAGGAAAUAAAUAGGACCCCUUAAUAGGCUUCAAAACAUUUUCUUAUUCCACAAGGUUUUGGGCCUCAAGGUAUAACCUAAUUUAAAUUCUUAUCAAAACCUGAUAUAACUUAGUAUCUAGUGCACCGAUCUAAAUAGGAAACAUAACAAAGUUUUCAUAUUCCCACAUGAAAUGAUAUCAUUCUUUUCCAUAAUGAAGGGCAAAGUACAAAUGGUUGUCAGAUGCCAAGAUUCAGAGCACCGCUUCACUAAGGACUUAGAAUUAGGGUAAUGAUUAAACUGGUCCUUAAUUAAGUACAUUUAGUGUGGUUCUUUUCCUUUGACAAUUCACCAUUUUUUUGUUGUCAAAGUUUGGAAGGGGGAGGUGCCAUUUGGUUUAGGGUUCGAACUUGAGGCCACUGAUCUACAAACACUACUACAAAAAGUGAAAAAGACGACCAGAAAACAACGACGGUCUAAGUGAAAACCGUCGUGGUUUAUAAAAAGACGACGGUUCUAAAAACACCGUCGUGUAAUACAACCUUAGACAACUAAAAAAUGGAGAUUCAAAUGGCUGUUCAAAAACAACGACGUACAUAAUUAAACAACCGACGUCUAUUUGAAACAGAUUUCCGCAGUGUAAAAUCAAUGCCAACAAAGAACGGCAGAAGUUAUGAAUCGACCGACGUAGAAAGUAAAGACGACGAUUUCAAUAAAAACUGCCGUUUUUACUCAUAAAAUAACACGACGAGGUUUUCGUAUAAGACGCCGUAUAAUUACAAACAAAUCCACGGCUUUAAAAUACAAAAUAUCGCCGUAUUAAAUUAAUUUACAACGACGGAAAAUAUAAAUAUAUCGACGUCAUUCUCGUAUAGUUCUACGACGUUAUCUUUAAAUCGUACAAUAAAAUUUAACGUCGUAUUUAUUCAUUUUAUACGUCGUACCUUUAAUUUUAACGGUCGUCUUAAUAAGAAUUUUUGUUAACAAUUUUUUUCUUUGAUUUUCUUAUCCUACGUCGGUAGAUCUACUUAAUGACAAGAAUUGAAAUAACCACGACGGUUUAUAUAGAACACCGCCGACAUAAUCAGAUUUGUCUGAGAUCCCAAGGGUUACGAAAUCUUACCAGAUGGAACUCUGUUCCACAUCAUAAUCUUAACAGAUGACACAGAUUUGCAAAUAUUGCGUCGUGUUAGUUUACAAAUUCUAGAACAUUAAUUUCCCUCAUUUAAAUUUCCUCGGGAAAGAAAAAUCUAUUUAUCACGCUUUGUAAUUGAAAACUAAAACUGAAAGAAUACGGGAAAAAAAACUCUAUUUAUAAUUUAAAAAUAAAAUCCACGUCGGUUGUAGUACACUUAACGACGUUUAACAAAAUAAUCUACGUCGGUAAUUAUAAAUCUACCGCCAUCUUAACUUAAUAUAGACGACGAGAAAAGACGACGGUAGAACAGAAAACCGCCGUUGUUUCAGUUUCUUUGACAGUUUGGUCCUUUUCUUUCUGCAGGACUUGUAUAGUUCAAAGCAUUGACAAUGUCUUCAUCAUAUCUCCCAGAAACUACUGAUUCAAUUGCUCAUGCUUUAGAGGCCAUCUGAAGCCAUUUCUAUUCUUUAUCGCAUUCUUGAAACCCAUCUUCUUCUUCUGAAGCUCUACGGAUAAAGGAAGAGGCUAUCACAAAUCCGACGGAUCUUCUUAGGCAAGAAAAUCAAGCAGAGGAUCAGGCACAUCUGAUCUUCAGAUUUCCCUGAGAAGUGAUCUUUCCUUCGACAGCGAGUGGAGGCCAGGCUUGCAUCUCUUUUGAUGGAAAGCAAGGAGUAUUCAGAAGCACUAAGUGUCCUAUCAGGCUUGAUCAAGGAAGUGAGAAGGCUAGUUGACAAGCUUCUUCUUGUGGACAUAUAUUUGAUGCGAGUAAGCUCAAUUUCUCUUUGAGAAAGACAUCCAAAUUAUUGUCUUUGAGACGUGAGAGACUGAGAGAGGAAGAACUUGGAACCUUAAAUGUAAACCGAAAAUGAAUGAAAGCGACAAAUUUAUAGAAUAAAUUUUUAAAACCAACGGCGGUCCUUACAAAAAAACCGCCGUUUAAAUUGUAAAAUCAACGUUGGUAUUAUCGACGUAUAUUACAGAAAUCCAUGUCGGUAAAUUAAUAAAAACGACGUGUUAAAUAAUCUACCAUGACGCGAGUUAUUACUUAUGUACUUUAAUUUUUGAGUUUACUACGACGGUACCUACAACACUACUGUCGUAUUUAUUUACCACGUUCGAAGUUAAAUGUACCGUCGUAGUUUGUAAUUUAUACGUCGUAGUUAUAUGUAACCGCCGUAUUAUUUUUUUGAAAUGGUUUUAUAUGUAAGCAACUUUUCGUCUACCUGACAUACACAUGCGCUGUUUCCAAACCCGAUUAAAAAGUUCAAUCUCCCAGAGAAAACUUGUAGACUUUUUUUUCUUGUCAGAGCACUGUCAGAGUAUCUCAUCGUCUUCCUCUCUUCUUCUUCAUCGUCUCUGAACAUAAACAUAAUCUUCCUCUUGCUUUCAUUGCACGCAAAAGGUAAGCUUUCAUUUUCACUAUUUUGUUUGCUGUUUUGCAUGCUCAUACGUUUUUUGUUUGAAAAAUCUUUUUACCUUUUUUCUGGCCAAAAUCAUUUUACUUCUUUUCAAGUUCGAUAAAAUAUACAGACAAAGAGGGAAAGUUUCCAACUUUGAAGACAACUACCUCAACUAAAUAAGACGACGGUAGCUUCUUAUGUACGUGGUUAAAUAUGUAGACCACGACGGUUCGUCAGUCGUUCUAGCGUCGUCUGAAAAUUGACAAAGUUGUUUUUAAAAUUAUAGUCUUUUUUUUAUUUGCUUGUUUAAUUGCAGGUUUGAUUUCUCUGAACAAUGGUUUUUGUUUUUCCCUAAUUUGAUAAAAUAUAAAGAAAAAGAAAGUAGGGUUGGUAUCUAAUAUAGACGACAGUAUCUUAUUGUUUUACGUCGUGUGAAUGUUAAUACCACGACGUCAUAUUAAAAUACCGUCGUCUAUAUAAGAUUCCAAAACUUUCUUUCUUGGCCUUAUAUUUUAUCAAAUUAGAAAACAAAAACCAUGGUUCAGAAAAAUCAAAUCUGCAAUCAAACAUUCACAGAGAAAGAAAGAAGGGUUUUGGAUCCUUAUAUAGACGACGGUAUAUUACGACUGACGUCGUGUGAACAUCAAUACCACGACGUUAUAUAAAUAUUUCGUCGUUUAUAGUUAAUUAUCACGUCGUUUAUAGUUAAUUAUUUCGUCGUUGUUUAAUUACCUUGGUUUUAAACAUUUAUUACGUCUGAGAUUAUUUCAUUGCGUCGUUUAAAAUCAUAUCAUACGUCGUAUUUUAUUAAUAACUGUCGUUUGUGUUCUUAAUCUUUUCCUGAAAUAUUUUCACUUGAAGUUUUGUCUGUAAAAAUGGUUUCUCACCAAGACCAAAGUAAGGAUUCUGGCUCCAAGAAAAAUGGAGGUAAGGACCUUGGAAUGUUACCUCCUCAAGUGAAGCCUUCGAAGAAGAUGAAGUUUGCUUCAUCAUCUGCUGAGACAAAACGAACCAGCACGACAACAAUCUCUGAUGAUUCAAAGUCUGGUCGAGGUAUGAGCACAAUGCCUCAUGUUGUGAAGAGAAAACUUCAGAAACUGAAGCCAAUUGUUGAGUACAAUAAAAGGGGGAAAGGAAUUGGCCAAGCACAUAGUGAGAUGCAGUCCUACAUUGGUGUGUUGGCACGCUCCAGAGUUCCACUUGUGGACAUGAAAUGGGCUCAAAUCCCCAAGGAUAUAAAGGAGCAGAUUUGGGAAGCAGUUGACAUUGCUUUUGUGGUAGGUCAAGGGGGCAAGAGCUCUGUGUUAGCUUCUGCUGCCAAGAAAUGGAAGGAUUUCAAGUCUACACUAACGAGGCAAUAUAUCCUUCCAUACACCAAUGACAGGGAGAGAUUAAGCCAACCCCCUGAAACAUAUAAAUUCAUAGAGAAAGCACAAUGGGAUGCCUUUGUAGCUUCAAGGUUAUCCAAAGAUUUUGAGUCUGUGCAUUCUCAACAUGCACAGAUUAGGGAGAAACUUGAGUACAAUCAUCGAUUGUCUCGAAAAGGAUAUGCUGGUUUGGAGGAUCAAUUGGAGGAAACCAUGCCUGGGGUAGAAAUUGAUCGAUCUACCUUAUGGAAGAGAGCUAGACAGGACAAACAUGGUAACAUCCCGGAUCCAAAGGUGGCAGAGAAAGCAAAAUUAAUUGUAAGCCUACUCACUCUGUUUUAAAUUUUUAUUAAACUGUGAAUAAUUCUUAUUACGUCUUAUGUUAUAUUUUGUGUCGUGUGAAUGAUAUUACCACGUCGUUAAAGGUCUAAAUCAGGAAUCACUACUCUGUUUUCUGUAAUUAUAGCAUAAGAUGUCGGUGGUUCAUUUUCGCGUUGUUUGUAUUGAAUUACUACGUCGAAAUGUUUUAAACAAGGUCGUUAAAGGUGUGAAUAUUGAAUCAUCCCUCUGUUAUCUGUAAAUAAAGCAUAAGACGUCGGUGGUUUAUUCAUUUCGUCGUUUUAAAAACUAACCACGUCGAUUUAUAUGUUAUUGCGUCGUGUGAAAUUAUAUAAUACGUCGUUUGUAUAUAAAUAACCGUCGUGUGUUUUUGUUCUUACUUUUUUAUAUAUCUUUGUUUUAGGAUGAAUUGCAAAAACAAGUCUCGGAAGGCAAAGUCACUGUUUCUGGCAGCAAUGAUGUGCUGACCAUGGCUUUGGGCCCCGAGCAUCCAGGCAGAGUGAGAGGAGUAGGUGCUGGGAUCUCACCAAGGCAAUAUUUCAAUUUACCCAAACCACAGAGAGUGAGCUUUGACGACCGUUUGAAGGACAGUUUAAGAGUUCUCCUUCAAGAAGAGACUAAAAAGAUGGAAGCUAAGGCAAGGGAAGAGGCUUUAAGGAUGGAGGCUAGAACGAAACAAUUGGUAGAGGCUGAGAGGGAGCAUUUCCUGAGUCAGCUUUCCCAAUUAAUUCCCAAUUUUGAUCCAAGCAUGCUUAAACCCAGAAUUAGCCAAAGUCCCAAAAAUCCAAUGUCUGACAAAGCAAGCUGCUCUGGAGGUGAUGUGAGAUCCCAGCAUUUUGAGGAUGAUACUGCCAAAAAUGGGAAACAUCAGGAAGAAAAGGUAACAUAUCUGAACUUUGAAUUCUCUGUUUUUUUAAAAACCAUUAGACGUCGUUAUUAUUAAUAAAACCGUCGUUUGAAAUACAUACCACGACGAUUUUAAACAUAAACCGUCGUUUGUAUUUCAAUACCACGUCGUAUUUAGUUUACUUGUUUUACACGCCAUUAAACGUCGUUAUUUUAAAACUUUGUGGUUUUUAGACGACGGAGUUAGUCAUUCUCGACGUAAUAGAUGAAGGGAAGACAGAAGAAAAACAUGAUGAAAAGGAGAAAGAAGAUGACGACCAGGUAUGUUCACAUAACUUUGCCUUUUUUAUUUGUUUUUCAAAAUUCCAGACGUCGAUAUUUUUCUUUAAACCGUCGUUUGUUUACAACUUAGACGGCGGAAUUUUUUUUAAGACGUAAUAAAUUAUUCACCACAACGGUUUCUUCAGACGACGUUUAAAUUCUUUUCAGACGACGUAUUAUUCCUUAAACCGUCGUUUUUAUUGAAUUACCACGUCAUUUUUUUUAUUUCUUUAAACAGGUUAUUAAAGUUGUUGAUUAUUCAAAUAUGGAGGCGCCAUCUUCUUUAAACUCCCUUUGUCGUUAUGUGGAAACGACACUCGUGCCUCAGGAUAAGACCCUGCACUUUACAAUUGAUAAGGAGGUGUUUGGUCUAGAGCGCGAUACCUUCCUCCUGCCUGAAGAUAUUACACAAUUUGCAGGCAUGGAAGAAAUAGGAGCCACUGUCAUUGCUGUAUAUAUGAGGUUUGUCAUUCUAAAAUAAUACGUCGUUGGUGUAUUUAUUGCGUCGUCUUAACCAACUAACCACGUCGUUAGUAUAUCAUAACGUCGUUGUCUAUUUCAGUACGUCGUGUGAAAUUUUAUAAUACGUCGUUUUGUUAUACAUAACCGUCGUGUUUUUUUGUAUAUAUGAGGUUUGUCAUUCUAAAAUAAUACGUCGUUGGUUUAUUUAUUGCGUCGUCUUAACUAACUAACCACGUCGUUAGUAUUUACCGUCGUGAUAAAUAUAUUAUAACGUCGUUGUCUAUUUCAAUACGUCGUGUGAAAUUUUAUAAUACGUCGUUUUGUUAUACAUAACCGUCGUGUGUUUUUUUGUGCUGACUUGUUUAUAUUAUUUUAUAUAUUUAGGCACUGGCACAAUGUUUUGAAGCGAGCAAAUAUGUGCAAUAUGGUUGGCUUUAUCGACCCUGCUACAGUUAGUGCCAGCUCUGGCACAAUAGCUGAGAGAUCACGCCUACUAGCAGCUCGACUUCAGAAGACUGACGGUGAACAGAUUUUCCUGAUGCCUUACAAUCCAGGGUUAGUCUCCUUAACAGGAUUUUGAUUUUAUGAUUUUCAAUAAAUUACAGCGUAUAAACUAACCACGUCGGUGUUUUAUUUUAUUGAGUCGUUUGAAACUUCUAACCACGUCGGUAGUUAUUUAUCGUCGUGAUAAAUGUAAAAUGUCGUUGAUUGCUACUUUAUUUCGUCGUGUGAAAUAUUAUAAUACGUCGUUAUUGUAAAUAACCGUCGUUUUUAUAUUAAUUUUGUGCAGCAGUCAUUGGAUCUUGCUGAUUGUAAGAGCAAAGAGAGAAAUCGUCUAUUUUCUGGAUCCUCUGUCAGGAAAUCGUGUGGUCGAUGAAGAGGCCAAAAACAUUGUGAACAGUGCUAUAAAAAUUUAUUAUUCUCACAUAGCCAGACCAGGCCGUAAGGCAGUCAUUUGGAAAACUCUGUCAGGCACACCAAAGCAACCCAGCAAUGUCGAAUGCGGGUAUUAUGUGAUGCGCUUCAUGAGGGACAUCAUCAUGGAUACUUCCUUGGGGUUUGAGAAGAAAGGUAAGAAGAAAUUACCUUCAUACAUUUUACGUCGUUUUUUGUAUUAUCAACGACGGUCAUGUAAAAUUACAGUCGUUGAAUAGAUAUAGUACGUCGGUUAUGAAAAAUAUCGUCGUCUGUGAUUGAAUUUCUUUUUAUUUAUAAACCCUAAUAGUCAUUGUUUAUGCAGUAUGCCAAGGGAAAACAGGAAGAGCCAUACCCCCAAGAAGCAAUUGAUGAAGUCCGGAAUGAAUGGGCAGAGUUUGUUUGCCUUAACCUGGAAUAGGGGAAUUAUUGAACACUUGAUAUUUAUGUAUAAUGUACAAAUUUUGUCUAUAAUAUAUAAUGUAAAAAUUUGUUGAGGUUUUCUUAAAUUAAAAAAAAAAAAAACAAACAUACAAAUUGCGUAACCGACGUGUAAUACUUUUCCAACGACGUAAUAAAGUCAAAAGCCGUCGUUUUUUGUUGUUUCGUUUUAACCAAAUCCGACGUAAAAGGAUAUUCAGACGACGUUCUUUGAACAAUUGAGUCGUUUAUGGUUUACAACGUCUUCAAUUUCUUAAGGGUUCAGGGUGGUACUUUGUAACGACAGCGGUUAAGUCGUGGAAUAUAUAUUUUACGUCGGAUAGUUAAAUAUCCGCCAUGGUUUCUCAUUUAAACGACGUCAUUUUAACAACUUAGUCGUCUAUUACAAUUUACAACGUCUAAAAUUUAUUAACACCGACGUGGUUUGUUGUUGUGAUAAGAAUAUUUUAUUAUUUUUAUAUCAAAAUAUUCAAAAUAAAUUUAAAAUAAAUCAGAAAAAUGCAAAGUCAACUCCUAUGAAGUCAUUGAUAUAUUUUCUUCCCCCUAAACCUUGAAAAAAUUCAUUUUGAAUAACAAAAAUUUAAAAUGACCAUCCAAAACAAAAUUGUUUUGAUGAGUCAUAAAAUCACUUCUAGUUUUAUGGUUUAGGGUUUAGAGUCUAGGGUUUAGAGAUUAGGGUUGUUAUUUAUUGGGGUUUAUUUUUAAAGUAUAAUUUUUGGGUAGUAUAGGGUAUAUAUUAGGCUGUAAAACCAUAAACCCUUUUAUAAACUUAAUUUUUAAAAUUAUAUAAUUUAGUUUUAAGGGUUUAGGGUAUUAAUUGUUAACGACGGUGGUUGAGUCGUGGAAUACAUAUGUUACGUCGUGCAGUAAAAUAUCCGACAUGGUUUAUGCUUUAAACGACGUCAUUUUAAUAUGUAAGUCGUCUAUUAUAAUUUACAACGUUUUCAAUUUCUUAACUUCGACGUGGUUUUUCAGUCGUCUUUAUAUCAAAAUAUUCAAAAUAAAUUUAAAAUUAAUCCGAAAAAUGAAGCGUCAAAAUAAACGGCGUUACGUUCAGUGUUUCCGUCGUGGAAUAUUACAUUUACGUCGGUUCUUGUAGAACUUUCGCCAUGAUUUUUCUUUCGACGUUUUAAAGAGCGCGCGCUCUAAAAAUUUUCGCGCGCCCUAAAUUUUUUUAUAUUUGGCUCUUAUUCUUAUACUUCUAACCCUGAACCCUAAAAUUUUCAGAUUUCGCGCAACAUAACAUUCGCUCUCUCACUUCUGCUCUAAUUAAAAGUUGCACUCUCCAGGCUCCGUCGAAUAUGUGAGCUCGUCCAACCUGUAAGUACAAACCCUAUCUUUGUAUAAUCUGCUAUAGUGAUGGUCAUUGCCUGUAUUUUCACUUUAUUAUAGAUAAUAGGUUAUAGUGUCGGAGAUGGAUAAGUCAUGGAUGCACUCGGAUAGAAGAUCGAAGGCAUAUGAGUUUGGGGUGGAAGCAUUUUUGAACUUUGCUGUAGAAAAUCUUCUAACUACAACACAUAUCCGUUGUCCAUGACAAGAUCAAAUAAAGUGUACUUUUGCUGGAGAUGGAUUAAUGUUUCAUGCUAGUAUUUUGGGAAAGUGCUUACUUGCUUGGUUUCAUAUAUAUGUUGUGUUCUUAAUGGGUUUUGUGUUCUUGAAAAUAAACUGAGACACGACGAAUUUUAAGGCAUACGACGACGAUUACACGACGGUUUUUUUAAACUACCGUCGUUGUAUUACUUAUACACGACGGUUUUUUCAUAAACCGUCGUUUGUAUUACUUAUAAUAGACGACGUCUGUUGAAAAUCCGUCGUCUAUAUAUGCCAAAUACGUCUAUUUUUGUUUAAAACCCGUCGUCUCUGUUGUGUAUUACUUGCGAUUAGAUCAUUGUAUAAUCUGCUAUAGUGAUGGUCAUUGCCUGUAUUUUCACUUUAUUAUAGAUAAUAGGUUAUAGUGUCGGAGAUGGAUAAGUCAUGGAUGCACUCGGAUAGAAGAUCGAAGGCAUAUGAAUUUGGGGUGGAAGCAUUUUUGAACUUUGCUGUAGAAAAUCUUCUAACUACAACACAUAUCCGUUGUCCAUGUGUUAAAUGUGUUAAUUUGAAGUUGUUUGGGGUUGGAAUUAUAAGGGAUCACUUAUACUUUAAUGGAAUUGACCAAAGCUAUAAGAAUUGGACAUUUCACGGAGAACCUUGGGAAGCAACUACUAAUGCUAGUAGAAAUGUUGAAGAAGAUGAUGGCCAUAGUAGGUACAGUUUUGUGUCUGAAGAAAUUGAUAUGGAUGAUAAUGAUUUUGGUGAUUUUGGUUCGGAUCCGUAUGAGUUUGCCAAUGUGAUUGGGGAUGGAGAUCAACCAGUGUACCCUGGUUGUAGAAAGUACACGAAGUUAUCGGCAUUAGUGAAGUUGUAUAAUUUGAAGGCAAAACAUGGGAUGAGUGAUGUCUGUUUUACAGAAUUAUUGAUACUUCAAGGCGAUUUGCUUACAGAAGGAAAUACAAUACCAACCUCCAUGUAUGAGGCUAAAAAGACUUUGUGUGCAUUGGGGCUGAGUUAUGAGAAAAUGCACGCAUGCCUCAAUGAUUGCAUCUUGUAUAGGAAGGAGUAUGAGGAUUCAACUAAUUGUCCUACUUGUGGUAUCUCAAGGUGGAAGGAAGGCAAAGAUUCAAUCUUGAAAGAGGGUGUGCCAGCGAAGGUGGUGUGGUAUUUUCCCCCAAUUCCAAGGUUUAAAAGGAUGUUUCAAUCACAUGAGACAGCUAAGAGUUUGACUUGGUGGCAUGUUGCUAGAAAAUCAAUUGACGGUCAGAUGUCUCAUCCGGCGGAUUCCCCGUCUUGGAAACUUCUUGAUGAUAAAUGGCCUGAGUUUGGUAAUGAGCCGAGAAACUUGAGAUUGGCUCUUUCAUCUGAUGGAUUCAAUCCCCACAGUUCUCUAAGUAGCAGAUAUAGUUGUUGGCCGGUUAUCUUAGUUACAUAUAAUCUCCCUCCAUGGCUGUGCAUGAAACGAAAGUUCAUGAUGUUAACCUUAUUGAUUUCCGGUCCUAAACAACCCGGAAAUGAUAUAGACGUCUACUUGGAGCCUUUGAUUGAUGAUUUAAAAUUCUUGUGGGUUGGGAUUAGAGGAGUGUAUGAUGCACAUAAUGGAGAAUACUUUACACUCAGAGCUGCAUUAAUGUGGACAAUUAAUGAUUUCCCCGCCUAUGGAAACUUAUCUGGUUGUGUUGUUAAAGGAUAUAAAGCUUGUCCAAUAUGCGGCGAUGAUACACCUAGUCACAGGUUGAAAAAUGGCCACAAAAUUUGUUACAUUGGGCAUAGAAAAUGGUUACCAAUCAAUCAUCCAUAUAGGAGGCAACGUGCAGCUUUUAAUGGAAAACCUGAAUAUGGCAUACCUCCCGAGCCAUUAACCGGAGAAGAAGUGCUGCAUAUGGUUGAAAAUGGUGACAGAGUUUGUUGGAAGAAGAAAUCAAUAUUCUUUGAUCUCGAGUAUUGGAAAUACCUUCCUGUGAGGCAUGCCCUAGAUGUUAUGCACAUUGAGAAGAAUGUUUGCGAUAGUAUCAUUGGUACAUUGCUGGAGAUCCCUGGAAAAAAUAAAGAUGGGAUUGCUGCUCGAUUAGAUUUAUUGAACAUGGGGGUCAAAACUGAUUUGCAACCCGAGUAUGGAGAAAGACGUACUCGUUUGCCUCCUGGGCCUUGGAAUUUGUCAAGAGCAGAGAAGAGAGAGGUUUGCAAUUCUUUCUAUGGUAUGAAGGUCCCUGAAGGUUAUUCUUCAAAUAUUAAAAAUCUUGUAUCUUUACAAGAUUCAAGACUUCUUGGCCUUAAAUCACAUGAUUGUCAUACCUUAAUGCAACAAUUGCUCCCUGUGGCAAUUCGUUCUGUUUUGGAGAAGCCUGCAAGGUAUGCAAUAACUCGUUUGUGCUUCUUCUUCAAUGCUAUAUGUGCAAAGACUGUUGAUGUUUCCAAGCUAGAUAAGUUGGAAGAAGAUGUAGUAGUUACUCUGUGUUUGCUUGAGAAGUACUUUCCCCCUUCAUUCUUUGAUAUCAUGGUUCAUCUAGUAGUACAUCUUGUCAGAGAAGUUCGUCUAUGUGGGCCAGUAUAUUUUAGGUGGAUGUAUCCGUUUGAAAGAUAUAUGAAAGUGCUGAAGGGGUAUGUUCAGAAUCGUACUCGUCCCGAAGGUUGCAUUGCUGAGCGGUAUAUAGCUGAAGAAGCGGUAGAGUUUUGUACUCAGCAUUUAUCUGAUGUUAGUACAGUUGGAGUGCCUUCAAGCCAAAAGAUGGGACUUUCAAAGCCAUUAUCAGGUUGCACAGUGAGCGUAGUUGAUCAGGACCUGUUGAAUCAAGCACAUCUAUAUGUCUUGGAGAAUACGGAGGAAGUCCUACCUUAUAUCGAGUACGUAUGAGCUUUAUUCUUUAAGUUUCCAUUUUAAAUUAUUUCUUAUGUUUAUCUUCUAUAUUUAGGACCGUAAUGCUUGAAUUUUUCGUGUCAUGUAGGCAACAUAUGAUCCACAUCAAGAUUGCUUAUCCAAAAUUUAGAAAGAGAACAAAGUGGCUGCAGGAUAAGCACAAUAGCACUUUCAUUUAAUGGCUACGCUUCAAGGUAUAUGUUGUUGAAUAACAUAUUUCUCUUUUAAUUUUCUUCUUAUUUAUAUGUUAGAUUGAAUUAAGAUAUGAUUAAUUUGCAGGUUCAAAGUGAACUUGAGGAAGACAAUCAUGGCGUAUCAGAAAAUUUAAGGUGGCUAGCAGCUGGUCCAAACAUGUCAGUGCCAUUAUAUAGGAGCUAUCUUAUUAAAGGUAUUAAAUUCAAUAUCAAGGCACAAGAUGAUGUGCGGACAACUCAAAAUAGUGGAGUUUAUUUACUUGCACAUACCAUGCAAGUUGCUAGUACCAAGGAUAAAAACCCAAUUCUCUCAAAUAUGGGUUUCUAUGGUGUCAUUCAAGAAAUUUGGGACCUUGACUACCAAAAGUUUACAAUCCCAGUCUUUAGGUGUGAUUGGAUAGAUAGUUCUGGUCUUGUAGUCGACGAACUUGGAUUUACCCUUGUAGAUUUGAGUAAAAUUGGACAUAGGAAUGACCAAUUUGUUUUGGCUUCUCAAGUCAAACAAAUAUUUUUUGUUGACGACCCGAUGCAUCGUGGUUGGUCGGUAGUGUUAUCAAUGCCUAAUAGAGAAUAUAAUGAUGUUAUUGGUGAUGAAGUCUUAGGUGAUGUGAUAAUUGAGUGUGAGCCAUUUACUAGAGGGAUGCCAAAUGUUGACACAUUUGAUGAACUGGUGGCUGAGUUAGGCGGUCAAAAUAUUCGAGAUGGGUGUGAAGAUAUAUGGAUUGAAUGAUGCUUAUGUAAUUGGCAGUGUAUGACAUUAAUUUUGUAAUAUAUUGUAAUGUGAUUUCUUCACUUUCUACGUUCAAAUAAAACACGACGUUAUUGUGAACCAGUUAUUCAGCAUAUUUACCGACGUCUUAAAGCAACGUGACAAUGAAGAAUCACGACGCUAUUGUGAAGCAAUUAUUCAGGAUAUCACGUCGGGGAAGGAUUAAGAACCGCCAUGUAAUUCAAAAUAACACGACUCCAAUCCCAUAAUACCGACGUCUAAAAAACGAGAUAUAUAAUCUGAACGUUAAAAAAUACGACGUCAUCAUACAUUUUUCACGUCGCAAGUUCUUUUAUAAACGAAGAGGAACGAAAUGAAUUCCGACGGAAAUUCAUUAUAACCGCCGUCUAAUAACAAUUAAACGACGUUAUUUGUAAUACGGCUCUCAUCAUAAUCAACGCCGUCUAUAUGUUCUGUAAUACGGCUCUCAUUUAUUUAAAACCGACGUUGUUUAGAAGUUCAACGUCGUCUAUAUUAUUAAGUGCGUCGUGAGUAAUGACGAUAGAUAUAAAUACAACGUCGACUAUAUAAAUGACACCGACGUUGUUUCGCAUUUCAACGUCAACUGUAUAAAUACAUACGUCGUAAAUAAUGACACUGACAACUAUUUCCACGUCAUCUUUUUUAGAAAAAUCGAAGUGGAAAAUUUAUUUCACGACGGUUGUUUGUAAAUAAGAGACGUAGUAUAUUUCAAUAACGUCGUCUUCUCAUGUAUUUAAAGACGUCAUAUUUUUUCUUGUCGUGUAAAUUAUAUUUAACGGCGUUGUAUUUUAGUUGUCGUCGUUGUAUGUAUAUCUUGCGGCCUUGUUCUUUUAACAUGUGUCAUAUUUUUCCUUUUUAACGACGGUGAUUUGUUUGAGUUGGUCGUCUAUUCUCAUCCUCGACUAUUUUCUAGAACUUUAGCAGACUAAACACGUCUGUUUUUAUUGUUUGCCGACGUUGUUUUAUUUAACAACGUCUAAUAUUUAUCGUCGUUGUUUGUUUCUGAAAAUAUGACGUAUAAAUUUUGUAAUACGACUCUCAUAUAUGUGUAACCGACGUUGUUUCGUUUUUCAACGUCUACUCUAUAAAUACAUACGUCGUAAAUAAUGACACUGACAACUAUUUCCACGUCAUCUUUUAUCGAAAAAUCGAAGUGGAAAAUUAAUUUUACGACGGCUGUUUUUAUAUAUGCGACGUAGUAGGUUUCAAUAACGUCGUCUUCUAAUGUAUUUAAAGACGUCAAAUUUUUUAUUGUCGUGAAAAUGAUAUUUAACGGCGUCGUAUUUUUAUUUUCGUCGUUGUAUGUCUAUCUUGCGGCCUUGUUCUCUUAAUAUGUGUCAUAUUUUUCCUUUUUAACGACGGUUUUUUUAGAGAGUUGGUCGUCUAUUCUCAUCCUCGACUGCUUUUUUAGAUCUUUUUGCAGUACAAAGACGUCGUUUUGUAUUUGUUGAUGACGUUGUAUAUUUUAACAACGACGGUGAUUUAGCGUCGUGGUUUAUCAGGGAAAAGAUGACGGUGGAUUCCACCACCAUUGAAAAACCGAAUACACGACGGUGAUUUACCGUCGUCUUUUUGCUUUUUUGUAGUAGUGAAACAAGUGCUCAACCAUUGAGCUGUGGACCCGUUGGCUUGACAAUUCACCAUUUGAGUCUAAUUAGUCCAGAAAAAGUCUUAUGUGCUGAGGGCUUGAGGUUGAUUCUUUGGAAUUAAUGAAAAAUAUUUUCUUCAACUGAUAAGAUGCAAAUUUACUAUCACACAGUAGCCAUAUAACAGCAAGAACAAGCAGAAAUAUUACAAUGCAAAAGUUGAUAGUAAAGUUCCAACUUCCAAGAACAGUCUCUUCUUUCAUUGUCAUCUUUCUUCUCUCUCUCUCCUUUCAUCCCUUAACAAUAUGGGCUUAGGUGAAAGAACACUAGGCUAGCAUUAGGGAACCAGAGGAGGGAGUGGUUUCCCAAGGAAAGGAUGUGGAGGAAAUGUUGGAAUGGGUGGAGGAAGAGGAUUCUUGAAAAUAGGAUGGGGAAAUGGUUUCUUGUAUACAGGAAUUAGUGGAGGAAGUGGCUUCUUAUAGAUUGGAACAGGAGGUAGAGAUGGCUUCUUGAAUUUUGGAAGGUAAUGAAAAAAUGGCUUCUUUACAAAUGGUUUUCCUUCCACAACUGGUACCGGCGGAUGACCCGGCUUCUUGAAGGGUGGAAUCUUGAAGACUGGAACAGGUGGAGGGAGUGGCUUCUUGAAGAAGGGCUUUGGUGGAAAUGGCUUCUUUACAAUGGGAAUCUUAGGUGAAGGAUGUUUCUUAAAGACAAACUUCCCUUCUUCAUUGAGCUCUGCAGACUCUGUUUGCAGCUCUUCAAUUCUACAUGUGCACAAAGAGAUGCAGAAGAAUGUUACUCAUCAGAAAAACAAUUAACAAAAAAAUAACAUACCUAGAGAUUUCAGUAAGUAAUUCAAAAUAAUGAGGAGCAAUGAAGGGGUCUGUUUUGUAACUUUUGUUAUUGUAUUGUGCUACAUUGCUAGAGCUGUCAAGUAGCCUAAGUAGCUUCCUUCUAAAAGAAAAUUUGUAGUGUAAUCAAGUAGCCUAAAAGAACUAUUUGAUCACACUAAGACUAAUAGCUUCCCCUCUAGACGUUAUUACCGUGCGUAUGCCAUGUAUUUUCUACUACCCCUCUUUGUUCUCCUCCGUGUUUACAAUGGCAUCCACAAGGUAAUAAUGUGUGGACGUCCGAUGAAAGAAGAACUCUAUAUAUAUAUAUAUAUAUAUUAUAUAUCUCACCUGAAUUAGCUUUGUCUAGUGCUUGUUCUCCAGCUUCCUCAAUAGUCUCUGCAUUGCUGUAGCAGAAGCUUACAGCAAACAAGCACAACCAGAGACCCAGAAGGGCCCCUUGGAAAAUAAGACGGGUCUGCAUUGAAAAAUCCUGCAACACUAAAAUGGUAUAAAAGUAGUAGAUCCAACUUUUACACGUUGGUUAAGCUGGGUUUGAUGCUCUUUAUCAGUUCCAGCAACCUUGUUAUUUAUAGUAAAUUAGAUGAACUGUUUAGGAGGCUCAUGUGCUUGCACUUAAUAAUUAAUUGAAGGAUUGAUGUCAACUUCAUUAAGAUUGAAAAGGAUCUCAGUACAAAGAGGCAACAUGCUCACCGGCUUUGCAGUUCAAAUGGUAUUUAUUUUCAUUCACUGACUUUCCACUUCCCUAACUUCUACCAGCAUAAUUGAGCCUUCUGACUAUCAGAGGAUAUGCUACUAACUAUGAAGUCACAUUUUGGCAUUUGGGUACUAAUCAGUGGCGAAGCUAGAAUUUCAUGUGUGUGGGGCCUCUCACAAAUAUAAACAAUAAAAAAUUUGAACUCACAUGACAUACCAAAACAUCAAAAAUCAUAUUGUGUAUUCAUUACAAUCAUCAUCGUUCUUGACGAGUUUUCAUAUUUUGAAAUCGUUGCAUAACAACCUCGUCAUCUAUACUAUUGGAAAUGUCUCUCUCAAUAUAUGCAACGAAGCAAUCAUUUAUACAUAAAUUGAAAGAUCAAUUAAAAUCAAUAAAAAGAAGGAAAAAAAUCAAAAUUUUAUGAACUAAAAAUAAAUAAAUAAAGAAAAAAAAUAAAAAAGUGAACUACUAAAAAAACUUUAAUUGAAUAAAUUAACCUAAUUAAAACUUGAUAUUGAAUAAAUUAACCUUAUUAAAACUUGAUAGUUUAAUAUGGAGUUUGAGAGAAAAACUCACAGGCAAUGCAUUGAGAAAGUCUGCUUUGCUGCUUGUGUAUCUCCAAGAAAGGAGAAAAAUGGUUAGGAUUUUAUCAAUUUUUGUAAAAGGGUAAAUAUAUAAUAAUAAGAGCCAUAAACCUUUGGAAAAAGGAAAGAAAAGUGGAGUUUGGUGGAAAGGAAAACAGGAUUUGGCUGCUGGCCCACGUGAUAAAAUAAACAUAUUAAUUAAUAUAGAUUAUUCAAUAACAGCAAUACAUAUUACAUUUUUAAAAAAAGAAAAAAAGUUGAGUAGGGGCCUGUGACAGCCCUGGUCCUUACUUGCCUCCGCCCCUGGUACUAAUCCCAAGCUUAAUUUGUCAUGACAUGUUGCCGGAAUAAUAUUUAGUGAUCCUUUAGAUUGUAAUGAGAUGUUUACUAACUUGUAAUCAAAACAACAAGAAUGAACCAGAAGGAGUGAGAGUCGGAAUCAAUCAUUUCCACGAUGAUUUUCUUCCAAUAUUUAUUCACCUAGUUGAUAUAUGACAACGACAUGCUAGUAUCUUGUUGGAAAUACAAUUUUUUUUUCUCUUAAGAAAUAAAAGAAAUUAAAAAUAUGCUUAAAUAUACGAAAAAAAAAUUAUAACUUAUUCUGAUGUCCACAGCAUAUAUACUCAGUAAAAAAUAAUAAUAAUAAUAAAAUAAAAAAUAAAAAAUUACUCACAUUACUUGUUUCCUUAUACUGCAGGACUUCAGACAAAGCCAAUGAUUUGCGCCUCUUCAACUCUUGAGCAAUAUUAAUAAUGUACGUUGAUUUUCUAGAACUACCAAAUAUAAUCUAGACGUCUAAGCAUCCAGGUUCUCUCAAAUUGCUCAUUAAAAUUUUCAUUAAAUAGCGUGUGGGAAAAUAUGACAAGGAGGUAUGAAUGGACGCAUUCUUAUUUAAUACUAUACCCUAGGUCCCUAAUAAAUUAAUCAUGUUGUUCACCAUUUAUAACAUGUGAACUAGUAACACAAUGUUUCGACAAAAAAAGAAAAGAAAAGAAGUAGUAACACAAGGAGGUGUGAGGUGAGGAACACAUUGAGAAAACUUUCUUAUAUAUGCUACCAAGGUACUAGCUACGAGGUUAUAUUUUUUAGAAAUUCUUCGGUGUGACGAUUAUCACUUGAGCUACAAGCCCUUGCAUGUUACCAAUCUAUUUAUAUUAUAACACCUAUAUCUAUUAAUUAAUACUAUACCUUUUUUUUUUUACAAUUAAUACUACACCAUAUUCAUGACUUAUCAAUUAUGACACACACUCAUAUUAUAAUAUGUUUUUUUUUCUUUUCCAGAAAUUCUAGAAUUGCAUUCAUAAUUCAACCAAAAAAGUCAUUAGCCACAAUGGGCAUUACAAUAACGGAACGAUCUAAAAUCAAAAUUAGGACAAAAUGAUCACACAUGAUCGAAGAAACUUUGGCAUAAGCAUCCCAAUUAAGUGCAAACUCAGAAUAACAAAAAGAGUGUUGCUAUUUCCACCCUCCUGUCCUAUUUCCCCACCCACCUUAUCUUCACACCCAUCAUGUAAAUUUGAAAAAACACAAUUUUAUCUUUCUACCCACCAUUAUUCCAAACAUACCCUUUAAUUAUUAAUUCAAACAAUUUCUCUCUGUCAUUUGUUUCUUGAUGAGAUACUAACUUGCCAAGACAGAUAAAUUGGAAAUAAAUUAAGAAUUGAUGAGGGUAUUGCUUUUGUGAUGGCACUUUUUAAUUACUGUGGUUUCUUCUGGGCAUAGUUAUAACAUGAGAGAAGAUGAAUAAUCAAGGGAUAGCCUGUAAUAUUGUCUUCUUUUUAUAUUAGUUUGAUUUAGGUAUCUAUUUCACUCGUGGAAUCAUUUGCUCUGUUCAUUAACCUGAAUGAAAAUUAGACAACUUUAUAGCUGCAUGUCGCAUGACUUAAUAUAAUCAUGUCAAUCAAUAACAUCAGAGCGUUCUAGUAUUCUCUUGAAAUAUAUUUUGAAACGUAUAGGAUAGGGGUAAAUUUGAAGAGAGCCAAGUCCUUAGAAGUAAUUUUACAAAGGGAUAAAUUUGUUUUUAAAAUGUUGAAGACAAGGUAGGUGGGAAAAUAGGACAUGUGGGUGGAAAUAACAGCACUCUAACAAAAAAUAGAUAAAACUUGAAAACACCAGGCCAUAACAACACAAAGAAUGAUAGGAAAUUAGCUCCAAGGGUCACUCUCUCGCUAAGCAAGGAGAGCCGCACGUCAUAUCUAGGGUACCCCCUCAAGGUCAACCACCGCCGUCAUGCACCCAGCCGUCGUCAUUCCUACUUUGCCCAUGAUAGGUGUCGUCAUUGUCUCUCCUUCUCGCCAUGAGCGACUCGUUUUGUCUCUCCCUUCUCCACUUGGGCUCAUCGCAGGUGCUAAUCGACUGGUCCCUUGAGAUUUUAUUAGGUUGGUCUGGUAUCAAUUGUUAACACGGUCAGAAUUAGGGCUCUCUGCCCUCGUGUCUCACAAGCGCCUCCUACCUAUUGGUUUCAUUGUCUGUGACUCCGGGUCCCUGCCGGUGUUUUCCUAAGCGUGCUAGUGUUGUGGUAAUUCUUUGGAUUUUUUCUCUCCUGUCUCUGUCUUUCUCCUUAGCAUGGUGUGGUUUUUUUUUUCUUCGGCUUGGCUCAAUGGUUAGAGUGGAAAUUCUGGUCUCUGCUAUGUCUGUAUUAAGCUAGAACAUGCGGGAGCUUGGCAACCGUCAUAUGUUCCGUGAUCUCAGAAACCUCUUACAUGACAAAACACCAGAUAUUGUUUUCCUUACUGAGACUCAUAUGACCGUUGUCCAGAUGGGCGGAUUGGUUCGAAGACUUGGGGUGGUUGGAGUCCUCUGUGUUCCCCGUGAAGGGUUCUCUGGUGGUCUCUGUAUUCUUUGAAACCCUGGUUUACAGGUUGUGUUGCUCUCAUCCUCUUCGACACAUAUUGAUGCUUGGGUUACCUUUCCUACACUACUACAAAAAGUGAAAAAGACGACCAGAAAACAACGACGGUCAAAGUGAAAACCGUCGUGGUUUUUAAAAAGACGACGGUUCUUAAAACACCGUCGUGUAAUACAACCUUAGACAACUAAAAAAUGGAGAUUCAAAUGGCUGUUCAAAAACAACGACGUACAUAAUUAAACAACCGACGUCUAUUUGAAACAGAUUUCCGCAUUGUAAAAUCAAUGCCAACAAAGAACGGCAGAAGUUAUGAAUCGACCGACGUAGAAAGUAAAGACGACGAUUUCAAUAAAAACUGCCGUUUUUACUCAUAAAAUAACACGACGAGGUUUUCGUAUAAGACGCCGUAUAAUUACAAACAAAUCCACGGCUUUAAAAUACAAAAUAUCACCGUAUUAAAUUAAUGUACAACGACGGAAAAUAUAAAUAUAUCGACGUCAUUCUCGUAUNNNNNNNNNNNNNNNNNNNNNNNNNNNNNNNNNNNNNNNNNNNNNNNNNNNNNNNNNNNNNNNNNNNNNNNNNNNNNNNNNNNNNNNNNNNNNNNNNNNNCGUCGUACCUUUAAUUUUAACCGUCGUCUUAAUAAGAAUUUUUAUUAACAAUUUUUUUCUUUGAUUUUCUUAUCCUACGUCGGUAGAUCUACUUAAUGACAAGAAUUGAAAUAACCACGACGGUUUAUAUAGAAAACCGCCGACAUAAUCAGAUUUGUCUGAGAUCCCAAGGGUUACGAAAUCUUACCAGAUGGAACUCUGUUCCACAUCAUAAUCUUAACAGAUGACACAGAUUUGCAAAUAUUGCGUCGUGUUAGUUUACAAAUUCUAGAACAUUAAUUUCCCUCAUUUUAAAUUUCCUCGGGAAAGAAAAAUCUAUUUAUCACGCUUUGUAAUUGAAAACUAAAACUGAAAGAAUACGGGAAAAAAAACUCUAUUUAUAAUUUAAAAAUAAAAUCCACGUCAGUUGUAGUACACUUAACGACGUUUAACAAAAUAAUCUACGUCGGUAAUUAUAAAUCUACCGCCAUCUUACCUUAAUAUAGACGACGAGAAAAGACGACGGUAGAACAGAAAACCGCCGUUGUUUCAGUUUCUUUAACAGUUUGGUCCUUUCUCUUUCUGCAGGACUUGUAUAGUUCAAAGCAUUGACAAUGUCUUCAUCAUAUCUCCCAGCAACUACUGAUUCGAUUGCUCAUGCUUUAGACGCCCUCUGAAGCCAUUUCUAUUCUUUAUCGCAUUCUUGAAACCCAUCUUCUUCUUCUGAAGCUCUACGGAUAAAGGAAGAGGCUACCACAAAUCUGAUGGAUCUUCUUAGCCAAGAAAAUCAAGAAGAUUUCCCUGAGAAGCGAACUUUCCUUCAACAGCGAGUGGAGGCCAGGCUUGCAUCUCUUUUGAUGGAAAGCAAGGAGUAUUCAGAAGCACUAAGUGUCCUAUCAGGCUUGAUCAAGGAAGUGAGAAGGCUAGUUGACAAGCUUCUUCUUGUGGACAUAUAUUUGAUGCGAGUAAGCUCAAUUUCUCUUUGAGAAAGACAUCCAAAUUAUUGUCUUUGAGACGUGAGAGACUGAGAGAGGAAGAACUUGGAACCUUAAAUGUAAACCGAAAAUGAAUGAAAGCGACAAAUUUAUAGAAUAAAUUUUUAAAACCAACGGCGGUCCUUACAAAAAAACCGCCGUUUAAAUUGUAAAAUCAACGUCGGUAUUAUCGACGUAUAUUACAGAAAUCCACGUCGGUAAAUUAAUAAAAACGACGUGUUAAAUAAUCUACCAUGACGCGAGUUAUUACUUAUGUACUUUAAUUUUUGAGUUUACUACGACGGUACCUACAACACUACUGUCGUAUUUAUUUACCACGUCCGAAGUUAAAUGUACCGUCGUAGUUUGUAAUUUAUACGUCGUAGUUAUAUGUAACCGCCGUAUUAUUUUUUUGAAAUGGUUUUAUAUGUAAGCAACUUUUCGUCUACCUGACAUACACAUGCGCUGUUUCCAAACCCGAUUAAAAAGUUCAAUCUCCCAGAGAAAACUUUUAGACUUUUUUUCUUGCCAGAGCACUGUCAGAGUAUCUCAUCGUCUUCCUCUCUUCUUCUUCAUCGUCUCUGAACAUAAACAUAAUAUUCCUCUUGCUUUCAUUGCACGCAAAAGGUAAGCUUUCAUUUUCACUAUUUUGUUUGCUGUUUUGCAUGCUCAUACGUUUUUUGUUUGAAAAAUCUUUUUACCUUUUUUCUGGCCAAAAUCAUUUUACUUCUUUCCAAGUUCGAUAAAAUAUACAGACAAAGAGGGAAAGUUUCUAACUUUGAAGACAACUACCUCAACUAAAUAAGACGACGGUAGCUUCUUAUGUACGUGGUUAAAUAUGUAGACCACGACGGUUCGUCAGUCGUUCUAGCGUCGUCUGAAAAUUGACAAAGUUGUUUUUAAAAUUAUAGUCUUUUUUUUAUUUGCUUGUUUAAUUGUAGGUUUGAUUUCUCUGAACAAUGGUUUUUGUUUUUCCCUAAUUUGAUAAAAUAUAAAGAAAAAGAAAGUAGGGUUGGUAUCUAAUAUAGACAACAGUAUCUUAUUGUUUUACGUCGUGUGAAUGUUAAUACCACGACGUCAUAUUAAAAUACCGUCGUCUAUAUAAGAUUCCAAAACUUUCUUUCUUGGCCUUGUAUUUUAUCAAAUUAGAAAACAAAAACCAUGGUUCAGAAAAAUCAAAUCUGCAAUCAAACAUUCACAGAGAAAGAAAGAAGGGUUUUGGAUCCUUAUAUAGACGACGGUAUAUUACGACUGACGUCGUGUGAACAUCAAUACCACGACGUUAUAUAAAUAUUUCGUCGUUUAUAGUUAAUUAUCACGUCGUUUAUAGUUAAUUAUUUCGUCGUUGUUUAAUUACCUUGGUUUUAAACAUUUAUUACGUCUGAGAUUAUUUCAUUGCGUCGUUUAAAAUCAUAUCAUACGUCGUAUUUUAUUAAUAACUGUCGUUUGUGUUCUUAAUCUUUUCCUGAAAUAUUUUCACUUGAAGUUUUGUCUGUAAAAAUGGUUUCUCACCAAGACCAAAGUAAGGAUUCUGGCUCCAAGAAAAAUGGAGGUAAGGACCUUGGAAUGUUACCUCCUCAAGUGAAGCCUUCGAAGAAGAUGAAGUUUGCUUCAUCAUCUGCUGAGACAAAACGAACCAGCACGACAACAAUCUCUGAUGAUUCAAAGUCUGGUCGAGGUAUGAGCACAAUGCCUCAUGUUGUGAAGAGAAAACUUCAGAAACUGAAGCCAAUUGUUGAGUACAAUAAAAGGGGGAAAGGAAUUGGCCAAGCACAUAGUGAGAUGCAGUCCUACAUUGGUGUGUUGGCACGCUCCAGAGUUCCACUUGUGGACAUGAAAUGGGCUCAAAUCCCUAAGGAUAUAAAGGAGCAGAUUUGGGAAGCAGUUGACAUUGCUUUUGUGGUAGGUCAAGGGGGCAAGAGCUCUGUGUUAGCUUCUGCUGCCAAGAAAUGGAAGGAUUUCAAGUCUACACUAACGAGGCAAUAUAUCCUUCCAUACACCAAUGACAGGGAGAGAUUAAGCCAACCCCCUGAAACAUAUAAAUUCAUAGAGAAAGCACAAUGGGAUGCCUUUGUAGCUUCAAGGUUAUCCAAAGAUUUUGAGUCUGUGCAUUCUCAACAUGCACAGAUUAGGGAGAAACUUGAGUACAAUCAUCGAUUGUCUCGAAAAGGAUAUGCUGGUUUGGAGGAUCAAUUGGAGGAAACCAUGCCUGGGGUAGAAAUUGAUCGAUCUACCUUAUGGAAGAGAGCUAGACAGGACAAACAUGGUAACAUCCCGGAUCCAAAGGUGGCAGAGAAAGCAAAAUUAAUUGUAAGCCUACUCACUCUGUUUUAAAUUUUUAUUAAACUGUGAAUAAUUCUUAUUAUGUCUUAUGUUAUAUUUUGUGUCGUGUGAAUGAUAUUACCACGUCGUUAAAGGUCUAAAUCAGGAAUCACUACUCUGUUUUCUGUAAUUAUAGCAUAAGAUGUCGGUGGUUCAUUUUCGCGUUGUUUGUAUUGAAUUACUACGUCGAAAUGUUUUAAACAAGGUCGUUAAAGGUGUGAAUAUUGAAUCAUCCCUCUGUUAUCUGUAAAUAAAGCAUAAGACGUCGGUGGUUUAUUCAUUUCGUCGUUUUAAAAACUAACCACGUCGGUUUAAAAACUACCGUCGUGAUAAAUUAUAAUAACGUCGAUUUAUAUGUUAUUGCGUCGUGUGAAAUUAUAUAAUACGUCGUUUGUAUAUAAAUAACCGUCAUGUGUUUUUGUUCUUACUUUUUUAUAUAUCUUUGUUUUAGGAUGAAUUGCAAAAACAAGGCUCGGAAGGCAAAGUCACUGUUUCUGGCAGCAAUGAUGUGCUGACCAUGGCUUUGGGCCCCGAGCAUCCAGGCAGAGUGAGAGGAGUAGGUGCUGGGAUCUCACCAAGGCAAUAUUUCAAUUUACCCAAACCACAGAGAGUGAGCUUUGACGACCGUUUGAAGGACAGUUUAAGAGUUCUCCUUCAAGAAGAGACUAAAAAGAUGGAAGCUAAGGCAAGGGAAGAGGCUUUAAGGAUGGAGGCUAGAACGAAACAAUUGGUAGAGGCUGAGAGGGAGCAUUUCCUGAGUCAGCUUUCCCAAUUAAUUCCCAAUUUUGAUCCAAGCAUGCUUAAACCCAGAAUUAGCCAAAGUCCCAAAAAUCCAAUGUCUGACAAAGCAAGCUGCUCUGGAGGUGAUGUGAGAUCCCAGCAUUUUGAGGAUGAUACUGCCAAAAAUGGGAAACAUCAGGAAGAAAAGGUAACAUAUCUGAACUUUGAAUUCUCUGUUUUUUUAAAAACCAUUAGACGUCGUUAUUAUUAAUAAAACCGUCGUUUGAAAUACAUACCACGACGAUUUUAAACAUAAACCGUCGUUUGUAUUUCAAUACCACGUCGUAUUUAGUUUACUUGUUUUACACGCCAUUAAACGUCGUUAUUUUAAAACUUUGUGGUUUUUAGACGACGGAGUUAGUCAUUCCCGACGUAAUAGAUGAAGGGAAGACAGAAGAAAAACAUGAUGAAAAUGAGAAAGAAGAUGACGACCAGGUAUGUUCACAUAACUUUGCCUUUUUUAUUAGUUUUUCAAAAUUCCAGACGUCGAUAUUUUUCUUUAAACCGUCGUUUGUUUACAACUUAGACGGCGGAAUUUUUUUUAAGACGUAAUAAAUUAUUCACCACAACGGUUUCUUCAGACGACGUUUAAAUUCUUUUCAGACGACGUAUUAUUCCUUAAACCGUCGUUUUUAUUGAAUUACCACGUCAUUUUUUUUAUUUCUUUAAACAUGUUAUUAAAGUUGUUGAUUAUUCAAAUAUGGAGGCGCCAUCUUCUUUAAACUCCCUUUGUCGUUAUGUGGAAACGACACUCGUGCCUCAGGAUAAGACCCUGCACUUUACAAUUGAUAAGGAGGUGUUUGGUCUAGAGCGCGAUACCUUCCUCCUGCCUGAAGAUAUUACACAAUUUGCAGGCAUGGAAGAAAUAGGAGCCACUGUCAUUGCUGUAUAUAUGAGGUUUGUCAUUCUAAAAUAAUACGUCGUUGGUGUAUUUAUUGCGUCGUCUUAACCAACUAACCACGUCGUUAGUAUAUCAUAACGUCGUUGUCUAUUUCAGUACGUCGUGUGAAAUUUUAUAAUACGUCGUUUUGUUAUACAUAACCGUCGUGUUUUUUUGUAUAUAUGAGGUUUGUCAUUCUAAAAUAAUACGUCGUUGGUUUAUUUAUUGCGUUGUCUUAACUAACUAACCACGUCGUUAGUAUUUACCGUCGUGAUAAAUAUAUUAUAACGUCGUUGUCUAUUUCAGUACGUCGUGUGAAAUUUUAUAAUACGUCGUUUUGUUAUACAUAACCGUCGUGUGUUUUUUUGUGCUGACUUGUUUAUAUUAUUUUAUAUAUUUAGGCACUUGCACAAUGUUUUGAAGCGAGCAAAUAUGUGCAAUAUGGUUGGCUUUAUCGACCCUGCUACAGUUAGUGCCAGCUCUGGCACAAUAGCUGAGAGAUCACGCCUACUAGCAGCUCGACUUCAGAAGACUGACGGUGAACAGAUUUUCCUGAUGCCUUACAAUCCAGGGUUAGUCUCCUUAACAGGAUUUUGUUUUUUUGAUUUUCAAUAAAUUACAGCGUAUAAACUAACCACGUCGGUGUUUUAUUUUAUUGAGUCGUUUGAAACUUCUAACCACGUCGGUAGUUAUUUAUCGUCGUGAUAAAUGUAAAAUGUCGUCGAUUGCUACUUUAUUUCGUCGUGUGAAAUAUUAUAAUACGUCGUUAUUGUAAAUAACUGUCGUUUUUAUAUUAAUUUUGUGCAGCAGUCAUUGGAUCUUGCUGAUUGUAAGAGCAAAGAGAGAAACCGUCUAUUUUCUGGAUCCUCUGCCAGGAAAUCGUGUGGUCGAUGAAGAGGCCAAAAACAUUGUGAACAGUGCUAUAAAAAUUUAUAAUUCUCACAUAGCCAGACCAGGCCGUAAGGCAGUCAUUUGGAAAACUCUGUCAGGCACACCAAAGCAACCCAGCAAUGUCGAAUGCGGGUAUUAUGUGAUGCGCUUCAUGAGGGACAUCAUCAUGGAUACUUCCUUGGGGUUUGAGAAGAAGGUAAGAAGAAAUUACCUUCAUACAUUUUACGUCGUUUUUUGUAUUAUCAACGACGGUCAUGUAAAAUUACAGUCGUUGAAUAGAUAUAGUAUGUCGGUUAUGAAAAAUAUCGUCGUCUGUGAUUGAAUUUCUUUUUAUUUAUAAACCCUAAUAGUCAUUGUUUAUGCAGUAUGCCAAGGGAAAAUAGGAAGAGCCAUACCCCCAAGAAGCAAUUGAUGAAGUCCGGAAUGAAUGGGCAGAGUUUGUUUGCCUUAACCUGGAAUAGGGGAAUUAUUGAACACUUGAUAUUUAUGUAUAAUGUACAAAUUUUGUCUAUAAUAUAUAAUGUAAAAAUUUGUUGAGGUUUUCUUAAAUUAAAAAAAAAAAAAAACAAACAUACAAAUUGCGUAACCGACGUGUAAUACUUUUCCAACGACGUAAUAAAGUCAAAAGCCGUCGUUUUUUGUUGUUUCGUUUUAACCAAAUCCGACGUAAAAGGAUAUUUAGACGACGUUCUUUGAACAAUUGAGUCGUUUAUGGUUUACAACGUCUUCAAUUUCUUAAGGGUUCAGGGUGGUACUUUGUAACGACAGCGGUUAAGUCGUGGAAUAUAUAUUUUACGUCGGAUAGUUAAAUAUCCGCCAUGGUUUCUCAUUUAAACGACGUCAUUUUAACAACUUAGUCGUCUAUUACAAUUUACAACGUCUAAAAUUUAUUAACACCGACGUGGUUUGUUGUUGUGAUAAGAAUAUUUUAUUAUUUUUAUAUCAAAAUAUUCAAAAUAAAUUUAAAAUAAAUCAGAAAAAUGCAAAGUCAACUCCUAUGAAGUCAUUGAUAUAUUUUCUUCCCCCUAAACCUUGAAAAAAUUCAUUUUGAAUAACAAAAAUUUAAAAUGACCAUCCAAAACAAAAUUGUUUUGAUGAGUCAUAAAAUCACUUCUAGUUUUAUGGUUUAGGGUUUAGAGUCUAGGGUUUAGAGAUUAGGGUUGUUAUUUAUUGGGGUUUAUUUUUAAAGUAUAAUUUUUGGGUAGUAUAGGGUAUAUAUUAGGCUGUAAAACCAUAAACCCUUUUAUAAACUUAAUUUUUAAAAUUAUAUAAUUUAGUUUUAAGGGUUUAGGGUAUUAAUUGUUAACGACGGUGGUUGAGUCGUGGAAUACAUAUGUUACGUCGUGCAGUAAAAUAUCCGACAUGGUUUAUGCUUUAAACGACGUCAUUUUAAUAUGUAAGUCGUCUAUUAUAAUUUACAACGUUUUCAAUUUCUUAACUUCGACGUGGUUUUUCAGUCGUCUUUAUAUCAAAAUAUUCAAAAUAAAUUUAAAAUUAAUCCGAAAAAUGAAGCGUCAAAAUAAACGGCGUUACGUUCAGUGUUUCCGUCGUGGAAUAUUACAUUUACGUCGGUUCUUGUAGAACUUUCGCCAUGAUUUUUCUUUCGACGUUUUAAAGAGCGCGCGCUCUAAAAAUUUUCGCGCGCCCUAAAUUUUUUUAUAUUUGGCUCUUAUUCUUAUACUUCUAACCCUGAACCCUAAAAUUUUCAGAUUUCGCGCAACAUAACAUUCGCUCUCUCACUUCUGCUCUAAUUAAAAGUUGCACUCUCCAGGCUCCGUCGAAUCUGUGAGCUCGUCCAACCUGUAAGUACAAACCCUAUCUUUGUAUAAUCUGCUAUAGUGAUGGUCAUUGCCUGUAUUUUCACUUUAUUAUAGAUAAUAGGUUAUAGUGUCGGAGAUGGAUAAGUCAUGGAUGCACUCGGAUAGAAGAUCGAAGGCAUAUGAGUUUGGGGUGGAAGCAUUUUUGAACUUUACUGUAGAAAAUCUUCUAACUACAACACAUAUCCGUUGUCCAUGACAAGAUCAAAUAAAGUGUACUUUUGCUGGAAAUCAACACAAAAAGACAUAGAUCACCAACUUCCAAAUGAUUGUCACGCACAACGUCCAUCCAACCACGCCUGAAUCUGGGCCUUCCUUUGCUCAAACCAACAGACCAAGUUCUCCCAUUCGAAACUUGAAGGAUGACUUCACAGGAAUGCUUAAUACUAGGAGAUAGCUUGUAAAGAAAACUGGAGAAACCCCCCUAGCCGUCAAAUCUCUCUACUCGUGAACGAGAGAGCGACCCAAAACCUUCACCAAACACAAGUCUUUUGUAACAAAUUUUAUGCCUAGUUGUUGAUUAUUAUCUUUAUUUGUAUUGUUAUGGCUUGGUUUUUUCAAGCUUUAUCUAUUUUUAGUUAUUCUGAGUUUGCACUCUUAGUUGGGAUGCUUAUGCCAGAGUUACUUCGAUUAUGCAUGAUUGUUAGUGGUGGAGCCCCAAAUUGUCUUAGGGCUAAUUUGACAUUACUGUGUUGUGAAAAUAAUCGAUAUUAGAUGUGCUAUGAGAGAAAUCAUCUGUGAGAGAAAGCAAUUUGGCGUUUGGUAAACUUGUUGUUAAAAGUGUUGUUGGUACUGAUUUAACACAGGAAUGCUUCUCCAUGUCUCUCAGUCUUCUGUGAUUGUCUCUUUGGGUUCUUCUUGGUGAAUUGGGUAUGACUUUUUUUUUGUUCUUUUGUUCUCUGUGGGGUGGUUGCGUUGGCUUCCUUUCUGGGUUCCCAAUGAGUCAGUCGCUGGUGAGGGGUCUCCAUCUUAAUGCUAUGAAGAUGGCCACCGCCUUUUCUGCUCAAGGGGAUGACAAAUAUGCAGCACCAAGCUGGUGUUAGGCAUCUGAUUAUUACUAGCUUGGAUUUUUCUGGUAAGCAUAGUUUUUGUAUCAAGGAUUUUGUUGACAAGGCGGAGGAGACCAACCUCGAGGGGUCUCCAAGAUCUCCCUAAUAAUUCUCCUAUGGAACAUUCGUAGGCUUGGCAACCAAUGAACGUUCCUACUAUGAAGAUCUUUCUUCGGAAUUUUCUUCAGGCUAAGAGGCCAAUCUUGGUCUCCUUCGCUUGUCAGCUGGGGUUUUAGAUCAAGAAAAUUGGAGGUGGUAGUUGGUGUUUGGCUGGAUCUAUUAUGAUACUCACAAUACGUUUUUGACUCUGCACGAAGAACUAUGACGCUUUCUUUAGAUCAUAGGAGGCUUUCUUUGAUAGUAUCUGCACAGUGAUGGGAUGUGUUUCAAUGAUUUUGCGGUUGGGUGAUUGGCUGGAUCUAUUAUGAUACCCAUAAUGAGUUUUUGACUCUGUACGAAUAACUAUGAUGUUUUUUCUAGAUUCUAGGAGGACUUUUUUGACAGUACCUACGUAGUGAUGGGAUGUCGUUUUUAGGGUUUUGUGGUUAGGGUUUUAGGUUGGUUUGUUUCAUAUAAAUUGUUUGACUCUUAUGUUUAGUCAAUAGAAUGGGUGGUACUCUUUCCUACCCCGAGAUUUUGUUUCUCUGGGAAGGUUUUAAUGAGGCCGCUGUUAACAUGCUAGUUCUUACCAUGUAAUGUUCCUUUUCGGUUGAAUGAAAUACCAUCUUUUCUAUAUAAAAAAAUUACAAAUAAAGAUAGGAAAUUAGCCCCCAAGGUCACUCUCUCGCUAAGCGAGGAGAGCCGCACGUCAUAUCUAGGGUUCCUUCUCAAGGUUAGACACAGCCUACACUUCCAGUUGCCGUCAUUCCUCCUUUGCCAGCGAUAGGUGUCGUCGUCAUCUCUCCUUCUCACCUUACGGCUCGCCAUGAAAGACUAUUUUUGUCUCUCCAUUUGCUACUCAGGCUCAUCGCAGGUGCUAAUCAAUUGAUCCCUUGAGAUUUUAUUGGGUUUUGUCAGGUAUCGAUUGUGAGCACAGUCCGAAUUAGCGCUCUCAGCCCUCGUGUCCCCCUCGUGCCGCCCACCAGUUGGUUUCACUCUCUGUGACUCUGGGUCCCUGCCGAUGUUUUCCUAAGCAUGCUAGUGUUAUGGUAAUUCUUUGGAUUUUUGCUUUGCUGUCCUUGUCUUUCUCCUUCACAUGCUGUGGUUUUUUAAUUCGUCUUGGCGCGGUGAUUUGAGUGGAAAUUCUGGUAUCUGCUAUAUCAGUGUUAACGUCGUACGUUCCGUGAUCUCACAAAAAACCUCUUGCAAGACAAAACACUAGAUAUUGUUUUCCUUACUGAGACUCGUAUGACUGCUGUCCAGAUAGGUAGAUUGGUCCAAAGACUUGGUGUGGGUGGAGUCUUCUAUGUUCCUCGUGAAGGGUUCUCUGGUGGUCUAUGUAUUCUUUGGAAGCCUGGUUCACUAGUUGUGUUGCUCUCAUCCUCUUGGGGCAUAUUGACGCUCGGAUUACCAUUCCUAAUUCCUUUGUUACACGGAUUACUAGGGUUCUAUGAUCAUCCUGACCCGACUCGGCAGAUUCAUUCUUGGGAGCUUCUUCGUCAUUUGAGUGAGGUGGAUAUUGGUCCAUGGUUGUGUUGUGGUGACUUCAAUGAAAUUCUGUCUGUGGACAAAAAAAGUGGCCCUCGUCUCGCCUCCGUUGGUCAAAUCGAAGAUUUUCAACGGGUAAUUGAUGCAUGUAAUCUGUUAUCAUUUGAUUUUGUGGGUCAUCCUUUUACCUGGACGAACAACCUCAAAGAUAACGCGAAUGUUCAAGCGUGAUUAGACAGAGGCUUUGGUAAUUUAGCCUUGUUUUAGCAGUGGGUCAAUUUCACCAUCUACCAUCUUUCAACAUAUUCUUCUGAUCAUCACCCAAUUUUUCUCCUCCACGUCGUAUGGCCUGGUGUUGAUGUUUGGCGUCAUCGGAGUCCAUGUCGUUUCCAGUUUGAGGAAUAAUGGACAACUGAUGAAGACUGUUAAAGAAUAAUUCAAGAAGGGUGGCAUUGUCAGGAAUCUCCUAUGAGUAAUCUUGUCGUAUGUGUUAAGUGCCUAUCGAAGUGGAAAUGUCAAAGAUUCAGGCAUAUGAAUUCCAAAAUUCAGUCUUUGCGUACCUCUCUAGCUUCCUUUAAAAUUAUUGCCCCCUCUGAAGCCAUUCUCUAGAGUAAUAAAUUGGUUGUAAAUGAGCUCGACAGGUUACUGGAUCUUGAUGAACUAUAUUGGCGCCAUCGUUCUCCUAUCAAUUAGCUACAAGCUGGUGACUGUUACACUUCCUAUUUUAUGCUAAUAAUGUAUUAAGGAGUGAUUCUAGGAAUAUUGGUGCUGUAUUUCUCGACUACUAAGAUCAUCUUUUUUCUUCUGCAGGCACAACUAUGAGUAAUGAAAUUUUUGAGGCUCUCUUCCCGAGUUCCUCAACUGACUCAACGGUAUCUUUCUCUACUCUUCACUCAAGAGGAAGUUGAAAUUGCCAUCAAAUCUAUGGGGGCCACUAAAGCUCCAGGUCCUGAUGGGAUGACGGCUUUAUUCUAUCAAAGUUACUGGAGUAUUAUUGGCUCGGAUAUCUGUCAACUCUGUUUAUAGAUUCUUAAUGGGAGUUGUGGGGUAGCUAAUUUCAACCAUACAUUGAUCGCCUUAAUAACGAAAGUUCUGUCUCCCUUCUGGGUAAUUGAAUUUCGCCCCAUUAGUCUCUGUAAUGUUUUGUAUAAAAUUAUUUCCAAAGUUUUUGCCAACAGGUUGAAAAAUGCAAUGUCGGAUAUCAUAUCAGAAUAUCAGAGUGCAUUCAUCCCUCACCAUAUGAUCUUAGAUAACGGUCUUGCGGCUUUCGAAACAAUUCAUUGUUUGAAGCGUAGAGGUGAAUCAGGAAAAAAAAAAGGCUAUACUAAAGCUCGAUACUGCCAAGGCCUAUGAUUGGGUGGAAUGGGUAUUUUUGGAGUGGAUGAUGCACACGAUGGAAUUCCCUAAUCGCUUUAUCCAGUUGAUCAUGGGUUGUAUUACUUAUGUUUCUUACUCUCUAUUAAUUCAAGGGCGUCUGCUGGGUCACCUCAUUACUUCUCGGGGUCUAUGCCUAGGAGAUCCUCAUAAAGCUGAUUGGGAUUCUCGAGUCUACAGGAUUUCUAUUGCUCCUUCUCUUAAUCACCUUUUUUUGCAUAUGACAGUCUCUUAUUUUAUGAUUCUGAAGUUACCCAGAUAACGGAAUUGAAGCGCCUUUUUAGUCUUUAUGAAGCAGCCUCGGAACAACAAAUAAAAUUUGCCAAGUCUGCUAUCUAUUUUACCCCAUCCACCCCUGAAUCAGUCCAAGCUCAACUUCUAGCGCUUUUGGGGGUACCGAUCGUCCCUUGCCAUGAACGUUAUUUGGAUCUUCCUACUAUAGCUAGAAAAAAAAAUUAAAAAAAUGUUCCUAGCUAUCAAAGAUCGUGUUUGGAAGAAGAUUUCAGGAUGGGAAGGUAAACUUGUUUAGAAAGCUGGGAAGGAGGUGCUUAUUAAGGCGGUGUGUCAGGCGAUGCCUACCUAUUCUAUGAGUGCCUUUCGUAUGCCAGCUAGCUUAUGCUAUGAAAUUGAGAGUAUUUUUGCUCGUUACUGGUAGUCUAAAGGCAGUGAAAAAGGUAUCCAUUGGAAGACCUGGAAGGCUCUGAGCAAGCACAAGACUGAAGGAGGUCUCAGUUUUCGAGAACUUGUCUACUUUAAUCAAGCGUUGCUUGCCAAACAAAGAUGGCGUCUUCUAGAAUUUCCCAAUUCCCUUAUUGCACAAAUGCUUAAAGCUUAGUAUUUUCCAGAGUUUGAUUUUCUACAUGCUUAAGGGUGUUGGACACCUUUUUUUACCUGGCAGUCGAUAUUAUGGGGUCUUGAACUCCUAUCCCGUAGUCUUCGAUGGCGUAUCGGUGAUGGUCGACUUGUGAACAUCUACAUUGAUCCGUGGGUACCUCACCAUCUUACGUUUACUGUUCAAUCUUCUCUUUGUCUCCUUGUGGAUUCCAGAGGUAGUGCUGUUAUUACUGCUACGUUUUUGAGAUCUACAGCUUAUUCACCUUUCUUGAAGCUGAACUCAUCCUAUCUAUCCCUUUGAAUUGCAAUAUUGGUGAUCACCGUAUUUGGAAUUUUACUUGUAAUGGUAGGUAUAUAGUUAAGAGUGGAUAUUGGUUUGCAUUAGAAUUUCAAGCUCAUAUGGCCUUUUUGUUUGUGUCUAGGUCUUCCUCUUCCUCCUCUCAACAGUUAUGGAAGCAUUUAUGAAAGCUUUAAGUUCCACCGAAAAUGAAACAUUUCCUCUAUUGUCUCGCCCACAACACUCUCCCUACCCGUGAGGUGCUUCUUCAGCGGAAAAUAGUCCAAGAUACCACUUUCUUUUUAGUUGUAUGGGUCCGACUAAAACUACGAUGCAUGCUCUUCAUGACUGCAUUGUCAAUUCUUCUGUUUUGCGCUUAAUGGGUUGGGCUCCACUUCUCGCCACUUUACUCUAUCAUGAUGCUGCAAUUUGGUUUUUGGUUGUAUGGGAUAUCCUCCCUAGCUCACAACACUCGUUUACUAUUACUUUGUGGUUCUUGUGGAAUACCUGAAAUGCAGCUUUGUUUAGUUCUCAUGUCUUGCCCCCUAAUCAAAUAGUUUUUAGUGCAAAGAACUAUGAUGCUGAGUAUCAUAAGGUUUUAUCAAUCAAUCAUAGGCAGUCUUCGUUGGCAAUUCCUGAUAAAAAGUGGCAAUCACCCCCUUCUGGUUAUUUUAAACUUAAUUAACAUUGAUGGUGCACUUAGCUUGAGUUCUAAUUUACGUGGGGUUGGUAUAACGGUCAGAGAUUCCUGCUGUCGUCUUUGUAGAGUGGUAGCGAUGCGUGAUCUUAGCUUGUUGUCAAUCAUGGCUACUGAGUUGUAUGCCCUCAAAAUUGGUAUUUCCUUUGAGGUGGAUGCUUCUCUCACGCCUCUCAUUAUUGAGUAUGACUCUUUGACCUCCAUCCAUUUGAUCCUUCUAGAAGAUCCCUAUUAUGCGAUAGAAGGGGCUCUAGUCGAAGAUAAACGCCGGCUCCUCGCCUCGCUCCCCUGCUACUCGACCCGCUUUGUUCCCCACACAGCUAACAGAGUGGCAAAUCGUCUUGCGCGAUACAGUCUUGGUCAAGAAGCUUUAGCUUAUUGGUUUUCUGACCCACAUCUUUAUUUACAGGAUUGUCUAAAUGAGGACUCUCCUAAGUGUACUAUUGCUUGACUCUCUUGUAGUCUCGGUGUGUGUGGUACUCUUUCCUCUUCUAAGGCUUUGUCCCACCUCAUAGAAGUUUUAACGAGGCCCCUCUAUACAUGCUUUAUCCUUGUAAUACUCUGAUUAUCUAAUGAAAUCUAGGGGUGGGCAUUGCCUCAAAUUAGAACCGAAUCCAGUACUAUUCAUCCGGUUUUGUUUUAACAAAAAAAUUUCAAAAACUGUCCUGUCUAGUUCGGCUUGAAUGGGUUCCAGUCCGGUUCAGUUUUGAACUAGAUUUUUAAAACUAUUUUUUUUCAAAUUAUUUUUUAAUACAAAUGAAAAUGAAAAUUUAUUUUUUUCACUUGAAAAUUAAUAAAUUAUUUAAUUUCAUAUAAAAAUAAAUAUUAAAGCUAGAAAAGAGAGAUGUUUUGAAAUUGAACUUGGAUAAAUAUUAGUUAUGAGAUUAAAAAUAUAGCAUUGAAUAUAAAUAAAUAUUGAAAUUAUAUAUAUUUUAAUUUGACCGGUUCGGUUCGGCUCGAUUUGGUUUUUGAAGGCAUAGAACCGGAUCCAAAAUCGGUCCAAAUCGGUUUGGUUCGUUCUUUGACCCGUUGUUGACUUUUUGGUCAACUCAGUUUUUUUUCGAUUUUUUUCGGUGCUAUUCGGCUCGAAUUUUGGGUUUGCCGGUUUGAAUGCCCACCCCUAAUGAAAUCCAUCAUCUUCUCAACCCCAAAAAAAAAAAAAAAAAAAAAAACCUCUCACAAAGGAGAGGUGGAAAGCCCUCACAAAGGAGAUGUGAAAAACUCUCACAAAAGGAGAGAUGAAACCACACAAAAAACCUAAAGAGUCUCUGCGACUUAUUCCAAACAAAAAGAAAACGCAAAAAUGAUUGUGGUAUAGAUCCAACACCGAAACGCAGGUGGAAAUCUGACGCCAAAACGCAUACGCAUGUGAUGAGUGGAGGAAAAUCAUUACAAAACGAAGAGAAAUACGGGAAACCUUCUGUCUCUUAAAAUUGGGGAAAAGAGGAGAAGGUAGGAAGGGAGAAGGGGAGAGGGGAGGAAGAACAUUGACUCCUAUCCUCUCAAAGUGAAAACGGCUAUAGAGUGUUUUUUGGGAGAGAGGGGACUAGGAUUUUUGGAAAACUGUUUAUAACAUGUGUAGUUAGAUCUAGAAGAUUACAUAAUAAAUCUUAUUUGGUGAUGCUUUUAGGGAAGUAGAACAGUUGGUGAUACUUUAAAAUCGAAUUAUCAAUAUCUAUCCAAUUGAGCCCCAUAAUAUCCUAGCGUCAGAAAGUUGGGAGACAAAUUGAGGAAAAAGAGGUUGGAUGCUAAAGCUUCCCAAUCCCAACAAUAUUCAGAGUCACCAAAAUCUUUCCCAAAGUGUAUUUACUCAGUUAUUUAUAAACAAAAACAAUUACUAUACACAGUCAAAAACAGUUACUUCCAUUAGUAUUUUCCUUCCAGAUGCAUUAAUAGAGAUAGCUCUUGCAGGACUUGAGAUCAGGCAAGAAAAGUCCAGGUUAACAGCUGUGCUAAUAAGUCCAUAAUUCAAGUCUGCACGGUGGUUUGGUUCGCUAUCAUAACAACGCUUAUGCAAAUUCAGUACCCAUUGAUGCUUAUCCCUAUUUAUACAAGCUCUACGUCGAGAGAGUAAUUGCUCACAUUCCUGUACUCAAAAUUGAAAUCUCAAUGAUAAUUAUAUUCCUCAAAUGCAUCUUAGAAUUUUGCCAUAAUGAAGGGCAAAGUACAAAUGGUUGUCAGAGCAUUCACAAUCAUGCUCUCUAUUUUUUAGUUAAAUUUUAGCUAAAAACAUAUAAAAGUUUUUAGGAGCUCUCUAUAAAAUUUAAACUUCAAUCAUGCUCUUUAGUUUAGAGAGUCAUAAAUGCUAUAACUAUUUUUUAAUUGGUCAAUCUCUAUUAAAAAAUAAUAUUAAAAAUAAUAAAUAUUAAUUAAAGAUUUGAAAUACUCAUUAAAUCAAGCAGCAUUAAAUUAUAAGGAGCCACUAUGAGUCAUUUCUCUCUUCUCAAAUUUAGGAGUUCCUAAAAGUCUCCCUAUUUUAGGAGGUGGAUAGGGAGCAUGGUUGGAGAUGUAUUUUCCCAAAUCCUCCCUAAAAUUUGUCUAAGGAGAUAGUUUAGGGAGCCCAUUAUGGAUGCUUUAAGAGCAUCCACAAUCAUACUCUCUAUUUUUUAGUUAAAUUUUAGCUAAAAACAUAUCAAAGUUAUUUUCACUACUACAAAAAGUGAAAAAGACGACCAGAAAACAACGACGGUCUAAGUGAAAACCGUCGUGGUUUAUAAAAAGACGACGGUUCUAAAAACACCGUCGUGUAAUACAACCUUAGACAACUAAAAAAUGGAGUUUCAAAUGGCUGUUCAAAAACAACGACGUACAUAAUUAAACAACCGACGUCUAUUUGAAACAGAUUUCCGCAGUGUAAAAUCAAUGCCAACAAAGAACGGCAGAAGUUAUGAAUCGACCGACGUAGAAAGUAAAGACGACGAUUUUAAUAAAAACUGCCGUUUUUACUCAUAAAAUAAGACGACGAGGUUUUCGUAUAAGACGCCGUAUAAUUACAAACAAAUCCACGGCUUUAAAAUACAAAAUAUCGCCGUAUUAAAUUAAUUUACAACGACGGAAAAUAUAAAUAUAUCGACGUCAUUCUCGUAUAGUUCUACUACGUUAUCUUUAAAUCGUACAAUAAAAUUUAUCGUCGUAUUUAUUCAUUUUAUACGUCGUACCUUUAAUUUUAACGGUCGUCUUAAUAAGAAUUUUUGUUAACAAUUUUUUUCUUUGAUUUUCUUAUCCUACGUCGGUAGAUCUACUUAAUGACAAGAAUUGAAAUAACCACGACGGUUUAUAUAGAACACCGCCGACAUAAUCAGUUUUGUCUGAGAUCCCAAGGGUUACGAAAUCUUACCAGAUGGAACUCUGUUCCACAUCAUAAUCUUAACAGAUGACACAGAUUUGCAAAUAUUGCGUCGUGUUAGUUUACAAAUUCUAGAACAUUAAUUUCCCUCAUUUUAAAUUUCCUCGGGAAAGAAAAAUCUAUUUAUCACGCUUUGGAAUUGAAAACUAAAACUGAAAGAAUACGGGAAAAAAAACUCCAUUUAUAAUUUAAAAUUAAAAUCCACGUCGGUUGUAGUACACUUAACGACGUUUAACAAAAUAAUCUACGUCGGUAAUUAUAAAUCUACCGCCAUCGUAACUUAAUAUAGACGACGAGAAAAGACGACGGUAGAACAGAAAACCGCCGUUGUUUCAGUUUCUUUAACAUAUCUUUCUGCAGGACUUGUGUAGUUCAAAGCAUUGACAAUGUCUUCAUCAUAUCUCCCAGAAACUACUGAUUCAAUUGCUCAUGCUUUAGAGGCCAUCUGAAGCCAUUUCUAUUCUUUAUCGCAUUCUUGAAACCCAUCUUCUUCUUCUGAAGCUCUACGGAUAAAGGAAGAGGCUAUCACAAUAAAUCCGACGGAUCUUCUUAGGCAAGAAAAUCAAGCAGAGGAUCAGGCACAUCUGAUCUUCAGAUUUCCCUGAGAAGCGAACUUUCCUUCGACAGCGAGUGGAGGCCAGGCUUGCAUCUCUUUUGAUGGAAAGCAAGGAGUAUUCAGAAGCACUAAGUGUCCUAUCAGGCUUGAUCAAGGAAGUGAGAAGGCUAGUUGACAAGCUUCUUCUUGUGGACAUAUAUUUGAUGCGAGUAAGCUCAAUUUCUCUUUGAGAAAACAUCCAAAUUAUUAUCUUUGAGACAUGAGAGACUGAGAGAGGAAGAACUUGGAACCUUAAAUGUAAACCGAAAAUGAAUGAAAGCGACAAAUUUAUAGAAUAAAUUUUUAAAACCAACGGCGGUCCUUACAAAAAAACCGCCGUUUAAAUUGUAAAAUCAACGUCGGUAUGAUCGACGUAUAUUACAGAAAUCCACGUCGGUAAAUUAAUAAAAACGACGUGUUAAAUAAUAUACCAUGACGCGAGUUAUUACUUAUGUACUUUAAUUUUUGAGUUUACUACGACGGUACCUACAAACUACUGUCGUAUUUAUUUACCACGUCCGAAGUUAAAUGUACCGUCGUAUUUUGUAAUUUAUACGUCGUAGUUAUAUGUAACCGCCAUAUUAUUUUUUUGAAAUGGUUUUAUAUGUAAGCAACUUUUCGUCUACUUGACUUACACAUUUGUUGUUUUUAUAUUCUUAUUUUAUUUAAAUCUGUCAUCCAAAAAAGAAACUUUACAUAUUGCAGAAUAUUAAUUUCCUUCGUUUUAAAUUUCCUCCGGAAAAAAAACUCUAUUUAUAACGCACUGUAAUUGAAAAAUAAACUGAAAGGUCACGGGAAAAAAAAUUCUAUUCAUAAUUUAAAAAUUAAAAUCCACGUCGGUUAUAUUAAACCUAACGACGUUAAAUGAAAUGAUUCCACGUCGAAUGAAAAAUAUUGCGUCGUUUUAGUUAAAAACGACGUAGUUAAAUGUAACCGCCGUAUUAUUUUUUUGAAAUGGUUUUAUAUGUAAGCAACUUUUCGACUUACACAUGCACUGUUUCCAAACCCGAUUAAAAAUUUCAAUCUCCCAGAGAAACCUUUUCGUCUUUUUUCCUUGUCAGAGCAUUGUCAGAGUUUCUCAUCGUCUUCCUCUCGUCUUCUUCGUCGUCUCUGAACUUAAACAUCGAUCAUCUUCCUCUUGCUUUCAUUGCACGCAAAAGGUAAGCUUUCAUUUUCACUAUUUUGGUUACUGUUUUGCAUGCUCAUACGUUUUUUGUUUGAAAAAUCUUUUUACCUUUUUUCUGGCCAAAAUCAUUUUACUUCUUUCCAAGUUUGAUAAAAUAUACAGACAAAGAGAGAAAGUUUCCAACUUUGAAGACAACUACAUCAACUAAAUAAGACGACGGUAGACCACGACGGUUCGUCAGUUGUUCUAGCGUCGUCUGAAAAUUGACAAAGUUGUUUUUAAAAUAAUAGUCUUUUUUUAUAUGCUUGUUUAAUUGCAGGUUUGAUUUCGCUGAACAAUGGUUUUUGUUUUUCCCUUAUUUGAUAAAAUAUAAAGAAAAAGAAACUAGGGUUGGUAUCUAAUAUAGACGACAAAAUAUCUUAUUGUUUUACGUCGUGUGAAUGUUAAUACCACGACGGUGUAUUACUAUUGACGUCGUAUGAACAUAAAUACCACGACGUUAUAUAAAUAAUAGUUUACCACGACGGUGUAUUACUAUUGACGUCGUGUGAACAUAUAUACCACGACGUUAUAUAAAUAAUGGUUUUAAACAUUUAUUACGUCUGAGAUUAUUUCAUUGCGUCGUCUAAAAUCAUAUCAUACGUCGUAUUUUUUUAAUACCGUCGUUUGUGUUCUUAAUGUUUUCCUGAAAUAUUUUCACUUGCAGUUUUGUCUGUUAAAAUGGUUUCUCAACAACAAACUAAGGAUUCUGGCUCCAAGAAGCUUGGAAUGGUAGCUCCUCAAGAUAAGUCUUCGAAGGAGAUGAAGUCUUCGAAGAAGAUGAAGUUUGCUUCAUCAUCUGCUGAGACAGAACAAACCAGCCAGACAACAAUCUCAGAUGAUUCAAAGACUGGUCGAGGUAUGAGCACAAUGCCUCGUGUUGUGAAGAGAAAGCUUCAGAAACUGAGGCCAAUUGUUGAGUACAAUAAAAGGGGGAAAGGUGUUGGCCAAGCACAUAUUGAGAUGCAGUCGUAUAUUGGUGUGUUGGCACGCUCCAGGAUCCCACUUGUGGACAAGAAAUGGUCCCAAAUCCCCAAGGAUAUAAAGGAGCAGAUUUGGGAAGCAGUUGACAUGGCUUUUGUCGUAGGCCAAGGGGGCAAGACCUCUGUUUUAGCUUCUGCUUCCAAGAAAUGGAAGGAUUUCAAGUCUACACUAACGAGGCAUUAUAUCCUUCCAUACACCAAUGACAGGGAGAAAUUAAGCCAACCCCCUGAAACAUAUAAAUUCAUAGAGAAAGCACAAUGGGAUGCCUUUGUAGCUUCAAGGCUAUCCAAAGAUUUUGAGUCUGUGCAUUCUCAACAUGCACAGAUUAGGGAGAAACUCGAGUACAAUCAUCGAUUGUCUCGAAAAGGAUAUGCUGGAUUGGAGGAUCAAUUGGAGGAAACCAUGCCUGGGGUAGAAAUUGAUCGAUCUACCUUAUGGAAGACAGCUAGACAGGACAAACAUGGUAACAUCCCUGAUCCAAAGGUGGCAGAGAAAGCAAAAUUAAUUGUAAGCCUACUAUCACUCUGUUUUAAAUUUUUAUUAAACUGUGAAUUAUUCUUAUUACGUCGUAUGUUAUAUUUUUCGUCGUGUGAAUGAUAUUACCACGUCGAAAAGUUUUUAAAACGUCGUUAAAGGUCUAAAUAGGAAUCACUACUAUGUUUUCUGUAAUUACAGCAUAAGACGUCGGUGGUUCAUUUUCGCGUCGUGUGAAUGAUAUUACCACGUCGAAAAUUUUUUAAAAACGUCGUUAACGGUCUAAAUAGGAAUCACUACUCUGUUAUCUUUAAUUAUAGCAUAAGACGUCGGUUGUUUAUUCAUUUCGUCGUUUUAAAUAAAUAACCACGUCGGUAUAACUACCGUCGUGAUAAGUUAUAAGAACGUCGGUUUAUACGUUAUUGCGUCGUGUGAAAUUAUAUAAUACGUCGUUUGUACAUAAAUAACCGUCGUGUGUUUUUUUGUUUAUCUUUUUUUAGGAUGAAUUGCAGAAACAAGUCUCGGAAGGCAAAGUCAGAGUAGAUGACAACAAUGAUGUGCUGACCAUGGCUUUGGGCCUCGAGCAUCCAGGCAGACUGAGGGGAGUUGGUGCUGGUGUUUCCCCAAGGCAAUAUUUCAAUUUACCCAAACCACAGAGGGUGAGCUUUGACGACCGUUUGAAGGACAGUUUAAGAGUUCUCCUUCAAGAAGAGACUAAAAAGAUGGAGGCUAAGGCAAGGGAAGAGGCCUUAAGGAUGGAGGCUAGGACAAAACAAUUGGUAGAGGCUGAGAGGGAGCAUUUCCUGAGUCAGCUUUCCCAAUUAAUUCCCAAUUUUGAUCCAAGCAUGCUUAAACCAAGAAUUAGCCAAAGCCCCAAAAAUCCAAUGUCUGACAAAGCUAGCUGCUCUGGAGGUGAUGUGAGAUCCCUACAUUUGGAGGAUGAUACUGCCAAAAUGGGGAAACAUCAGCCAGAUGAAGAGAAGGAAGAAGAAAAAAGAGAUGAAGAGAAGGAAGAAGAAAAGGAGAAAGAAGAUGAAGAAAAGCAUGACGACAAGGUAUGUUCACAUAACUUUGCCUUUUUUAUUUGUUUUUCAAAAUUUCAGACGUCGAUAUUUUUAUUUAAUCCGUCGUUUGUUUAAAACUUAGACGGCGGAAUUUUUUUAAGACGUAAUAAAAUAUUUAAACGACCGUCGUGAUAAAUAUAUUUAAACGACCGUCGUUUAAAUACUUUUAAGACGACGUUUUAUUACUUAAACCGUCGUCUUUAUUGAAUUACCACGUCAUUUUUUUUAUUUCUUUAAACAGGUUAUUGAAGUUGGUGCUUAUUCAAAAAUGGAGGCGCCAUCUUCUUUAAAAACCCUUUGUCGUUUUGUGGAAACGACACUCCUGCCUGAGGAUAAGACAGUCCAAUUUACAAUUGAUAAGGAGGUGUUUGGUGGUGAGCGCGAUACCUUCCUCCUGCCUGAAGAUAUUACACAAUUUGCAGGCAUGGAAGAAAUUGGAGCUACUGUAUUGGCUGUAUAUAUGAGGUUUGUACUUCUAAAAUAAUAACUCGUUGGUUUAUAUAUUGCGUCGUCUUAACUAACUAACCACGUCGUCUUAACUAACAACCGUCGUGAUAAAUAUAUUAUAACGUCCUCAUCUAUUUCAGUACGUCGUGUGAAAUAUUAUAAUACGUCGUUUUUUUAUACAUAACCGUCGUGUUUUGUGUGCUGACUUGUUUAUAUUAUUUUAUUUGUUUAGGUACUUGUUUAUAUUAUUUUAUUUAUUUUAUUUUUUUAUACAUAACCGUCGUGUUUUGUGUGCUGACUUCAGAAGACAGACGGUGAACAGAUUUUCAUGAUGCCUUACAAUCCAGGCUUAGUCUCCUUAGGAUUUUAUUUUUAUGAUUUUCAAUAAAUGACAGCUUAUAAACUAACCACGUCGGUGUUUUAUUUUAUUUAGUCGUUUGAAACUACUAACCACGUCGGUAUUUAUUUAUCGUCGUGAUAAAUAUAUAAUGUCGUCGUUAGCUACUUUACUUCGUCGUGUGAAAUACUAUAAUACGUCGUUUUUGUAAAUAACCGUCGUUUUUAUAUUAAUUUUGUGCAGCCGUCAUUGGAUUUUGCUGAUUGUAAGAGCAAAGAGAGAAACUGUCUAUUUUCUGGAUCCUCUGCCAGGAAAUCGUGUGGUCGAUGAAGAGGCCAAAAACAUCGUGAACAGUGCUUUAAAAAUAUAUAAUACCCACAUAGCCCGAGCAGGACGUAAAAAUGUAAUUUGGAAAACUCUCUCAGGCACACCAAAGCAACCCAGCAAUGUCGAAUGCGGGUAUUAUGUAAUGCGCUUCAUGAGGGACAUCAUCAUGGAUCCUUCAUUGGGGUUUGAGAAUAAGGUAAGAAGAAAUUACCUUCAUACAUUUCACGUCGUUUUUUGUAUUAUCAACGACGGUCGUGUAAAAUUAACGUCGUUGAAUGGAUAUACUACGUCGGUUAUGAAAAAUAUCGUCGUCUGUGAUUGAAUUUCUUUUUAUUUAUAAACCCUAAUAGUCAUUGUUUAUGCAGUAUGCCAAGGGAAACCAGGAAGCUUCAUACCCCCAAGAAGCCAUUGAUGAAGUCCGGAAUGAAUGGGCAGAGUUUGUUUUCCAAAUUAUUAAACAGGGCAAUUAUUGAACACUUGAUAUUUAUGUAUAAUGUACCAAUUUUCUCUAUAAUAUGUAAUGUAAAAAUUUGUUGAGGUUUUCUUAAAUUAAAAAAAAAACAAACAUACAAAUUGCUUAACCGACGUGUAAUACUUUUCCAACGACCUAAUAAAGUCAAUAACCGUCGUAUUUUGUUGUUGCGUGUUUUAAACAAAUACGACGUAAAAAAAUAGUUAGACGACGUUCUUUGAACAAUUGAGUCGUUAAUGGUUUACAAUAUCUUCAAUUUCUUAAGGGUUCAGGGUAUAAUCGACGACGUUUAUGUAACGACUGCGGUUAAGUCGUAAAAUAUAUAUUUUACGUCGUAUAGUUAAAUAGCCGCCAUGGUUUCUCAUUUUAACGACGUCAUUUUAACGACUUAGUAGUCUAUUACAAUUUACAACGUCUACAAUUUAUUUAACACCGACGUGGUUUGUUGUAUGGUAAGAAUAUUUUAUUAUUUUUAUAUCAAAAUAUUCAAAAUAAAUAUAAAAUAAAUCAGAAAAUUGAAAAGUCAACUCCUAUGAAGUCAUUGAUAUAUUUUCUUCCACAUAAACCUUGAAAAAAUUCAUUUUGAAUAACAAAAAUUUAAUGACCAUCCAAAACAAAUUGUUUUGAUGAGUCAUAAAUCACUUCUAGUUUUAUGGGUUUAGGGNNNNNNNNNNNNNNNNNNNNNNNNNNNNNNNNNNNNNNNNNNNNNNNNNNNNNNNNNNNNNNNNNNNNNNNNNNNNNNNNNNNNNNNNNNNNNNNNNNNNNNNNNNNNNNNNNNNNNNNNNNNNNNNNNNNNNNNNNNNNNNNNNNNNNNNNNNNNNNNNNNNNNNNNNNNNNNNNNNNNNNNNNNNNNNNNNNNNNNNNNNNNNNNNNNNNNNNNNNNNNNNNNNNNNNNNNNNNNNNNNNNNNNNNNNNNNNNNNNNNNNNNNNNNNNNNNNNNNNNNNNNNNNNNNNNNNNNNNNNNNNNNNNNNNNNNNNNNNNNNNNNNNNNNNNNNNNNNNNNNNNNNNNNNNNNNNNNNNNNNNNNNNNNNNNNNNNNNNNNNNNNNNNNNNNNNNNNNNNNNNNNNNNNNNNNNNNNNNNNNNNNNNNNNNNNNNNNNNNNNNNNNNNNNNNNNNNNNNNNNNNNNNNNNNNNNNNNNNNNNNNNNNNNNNNNNNNNNNNNNNNNNNNNNNNNNNNNNNNNNNNNNNNNNNNNNNNNNNNNNNNNNNNNNNNNNNNNNNNNNNNNNNNNNNNNNNNNNNNNNNNNNNNNNNNNNNNNNNNNNNNNNNNNNNNNNNNNNNNNNNNNNNNNNNNNNNNNNNNNNNNNNNNNNNNNNNNNNNNNNNNNNNNNNNNNNNNNNNNNNNNNNNNNNNNNNNNNNNNNNNNNNNNNNNNNNNNNNNNNNNNNNNNNNNNNNNNNNNNNNNNNNNNNNNNNNNNNNNNNNNNNNNNNNNNNNNNNNNNNNNNNNNNNNNNNNNNNNNNNNNNNNNNNNNNNNNNNNNNNNNNNNNNNNNNNNNNNNNNNNNNNNNNNNNNNNNNNNNNNNNNNNNNNNNNNNNNNNNNNNNNNNNNNNNNNNNNNNNNNNNNNNNNNNNNNNNNNNNNNNNNNNNNNNNNNNNNNNNNNNNNNNNNNNNNNNNNNNNNNNNNNNNNNNNNNNNNNNNNNNNNNNNNNNNNNNNNNNNNNNNNNNNNNNNNNNNNNNNNNNNNNNNNNNNNNNNNNNNNNNNNNNNNNNNNNNNNNNNNNNNNNNNNNNNNNNNNNNNNNNNNNNNNNNNNNNNNNNNNNNNNNNNNNNNNNNNNNNNNNNNNNNNNNNNNNNNNNNNNNNNNNNNNNNNNNNNNNNNNNNNNNNNNNNNNNNNNNNNNNNNNNNNNNNNNNNNNNNNNNNNNNNNNNNNNNNNNNNNNNNNNNNNNNNNNNNNNNNNNNNNNNNNNNNNNNNNNNNNNNNNNNNNNNNNNNNNNNNNNNNNNNNNNNNNNNNNNNNNNNNNNNNNNNNNNNNNNNNNNNNNNNNNNNNNNNNNNNNNNNNNNNNNNNNNNNNNNNNNNNNNNNNNNNNNNNNNNNNNNNNNNNNNNNNNNNNNNNNNNNNNNNNNNNNNNNNNNNNNNNNNNNNNNNNNNNNNNNNNNNNNNNNNNNNNNNNNNNNNNNNNNNNNNNNNNNNNNNNNNNNNNNNNNNNNNNNNNNNNNNNNNNNNNNNNNNNNNNNNNNNNNNNNNNNNNNNNNNNNNNNNNNNNNNNNNNNNNNNNNNNNNNNNNNNNNNNNNNNNNNNNNNNNNNNNNNNNNNNNNNNNNNNNNNNNNNNNNNNNNNNNNNNNNNNNNNNNNNNNNNNNNNNNNNNNNNNNNNNNNNNNNNNNNNNNNNNNNNNNNNNNNNNNNNNNNNNNNNNNNNNNNNNNNNNNNNNNNNNNNNNNNNNNNNNNNNNNNNNNNNNNNNNNNNNNNNNNNNNNNNNNNNNNNNNNNNNNNNNNNNNNNNNNNNNNNNNNNNNNNNNNNNNNNNNNNNNNNNNNNNNNNNNNNNNNNNNNNNNNNNNNNNNNNNNNNNNNNNNNNNNNNNNNNNNNNNNNNNNNNNNNNNNNNNNNNNNNNNNNNNNNNNNNNNNNNNNNNNNNNNNNNNNNNNNNNNNNNNNNNNNNNNNNNNNNNNNNNNNNNNNNNNNNNNNNNNNNNNNNNNNNNNNNNNNNNNNNNNNNNNNNNNNNNNNNNNNNNNNNNNNNNNNNNNNNNNNNNNNNNNNNNNNNNNNNNNNNNNNNNNNNNNNNNNNNNNNNNNNNNNNNNNNNNNNNNNNNNNNNNNNNNNNNNNNNNNNNNNNNNNNNNNNNNNNNNNNNNNNNNNNNNNNNNNNNNNNNNNNNNNNNNNNNNAGAAUUGGACAUUUCACGGAGAACCUUGGGAAAGCAACUACUAAUGCUAGUAGAAAUGUUGAAGAAGAUGAUGGCCCAUAGUAGGUACAGUUUUGUGUCUGAAGAAAUUGAUAUGGAUGAUAAUGAUUUUGGUGAUUUUGGUUCGGAUCCGUAUGAGUUUGCCAAUGUGAUUGGGGAUGGAGAUCAACCCAGUGUACCCUGGUUGUAGAAAGUACACGAAGUUAUCGGCAUUAGUGAAGUUGUAUAAUUUGAAGGCAAAACAUGGGAUGAGUGAUGUCUGUUUUACAGAAUUAUUGAUACUUCAAGGCGAUUUGCUUCCAGAAGGAAAUACAAUACCAACCUCCAUGUAUGAGGCUAAAAAGACUUUGUGUGCAUUGGGGCUGAGUUAUGAGAAAAUGCACGCAUGCCCCAAUGAUUGCAUCUUGUAUAGGAAGGAGUAUGAGGAUUCAACUAAUUGUCCUACUUGUGGUAUCUCAAGGUGGAAGGAAGGCAAAGAUGCAAUCUUGAAAGAGGGUGUGCCAGCGAAGGUGGUGUGGUAUUUUCCCCCAAUUCCAAGGUUUAAAAGGAUGUUUCAAUCACAUGAGACAGCUAAGAGUUUGACUUGGUGGCAUGCUGCUAGAAAAUCAAUUGACGGUCAGAUGUCUCAUCCGGCGGAUUCCCCAUCUUGGAAACUUCUUGAUGAUAAAUGGCCUGAGUUUGGUAAUGAGCCGAGAAACUUGAGAUUGGCUCUUUCAUCUGAUGGAUUCAAUCCCCACAGUUCUCUAAGUAGCAGAUAUAGUUGUUGGCCGGUUAUCUUAGUUACAUAUAAUCUCCCUCCAUGGCUGUGCAUGAAACGAAAGUUCAUGAUGUUAACCUUAUUGAUUUCCGGUCCUAAACAACCCGGAAAUGAUAUAGACGUCUACUUGGAGCCUUUGAUUGAUGAUUUAAAAUCCUUGUGGGUUGGGAUUAGAGGAGUGUAUGAUGCACAUAAUGGAGAAUACUUUACACUCAGAGCUGCAUUAAUGUGGACAAUUAAUGAUUUCCCCGCCUAUGGAAACUUAUCUGGUUGUGUUGUUAAAGGAUAUAAAGCUUGUCCAAUAUGCGGCGAUGAUACACCUAGUCACAGGUUGAAAAAUGGCCACAAAAUUUGUUACAUUGGGCAUAGAAAAUGGUUACCAAUCAAUCAUCCAUAUAGGAGGCAACGUGCAGCUUUUAAUGGGAAACCUGAAUAUGGCAUACCUCCAGAGCCAUUAACCGGAGAAGAAGUGCUGCAUAUGGUUGAAAAUGGUGACAGAGUUUGUUGGAAGAAGAAAUCAAUAUUCUUUGAUCUCGAGUAUUGGAAAUACCUUCCUGUGAGGCAUGCCCUAGAUGUUAUGCACAUUGAGAAGAAUGUUUGCGAUAGUAUCAUUGGUACAUUGCUGGAGAUCCCUGGAAAAAAUAAAGAUGGGAUUGCUGCUCGAUUAGAUUUAUUGAACAUGGGGGUCAAAACUGAUUUGCAACCCGAGUAUGGAGAAAGACGUACUCGUUUGCCUCCUGGGCCUUGGAAUUUGUCAAGAGCAGAGAAGAGAGAGGUUUGCAAUUCUUUCUAUGGUAUGAAGGCCCCUGAAGGUUAUUCUUCAAAUAUUAAAAAUCUUGUAUCUGUACAAGAUUCAAGACUUCUUGGCCUUAAAUCACAUGAUUGUCAUACCUUAAUGCAACAAUUGCUCCCUGUGGCAAUUCGUUCUGUUUUGGAGAAGCCUGCAAGGUAUGCAAUAACUCGUUUGUGCUUCUUCUUCAAUGCUAUAUGUGCAAAGACUGUUGAUGUUUCCAAGCUAGAUAAGUUGGAAGAAGAUGUAGUAGUUACUCUGUGUUUGCUUGAGAAGUACUUUCCCCCUUCAUUCUUUGAUAUCAUGGUUCAUCUAGUAGUACAUCUUGUCAGAGAAGUUCGUCUAUGUGGGCCAGUAUAUUUUAGGUGGAUGUAUCCGUUUGAAAGAUAUAUGAAAGUGCUGAAGGGGUAUGUUCAGAAUCGUACUCGUCCCGAAGGUUGCAUUGCUGAGCGGUAUAUAGCUGAAGAAGCGGUAGAGUUUUGUACUCAGCAUUUAUCUGAUGUUAGUACAGUUGGAGUGCCUUCAAGCCAAAAGAUGGGAGUUUCAAAGCCAUUAUCAGGUUGCACAGUGAGCGUAGUUGAUCAGGACCUGUUGAAUCAAGCACAUCUAUAUGUCUUGGAGAAUACGGAGGAAGUCCUACCUUAUAUCGAGUACGUAUGAGUUUUAUUCUUUAAGUUUCCAUUUAAAAUUAUUUCUUAUGUUUAUCUUAUAUAUUUGGGACCGUAAUGCUUGAAUUUUUCGUGUCAUGUAGGCAACAUAUGAUCCACAUCAAGACUGCUUAUCCAAAAUUUAGAAAGAGAACAAAGUGGCUGCAGGAUAAGCACAAUAGCACUUUCAUUCAAUGGCUACGCUUCAAGGUAUAUGUUGUUGAAUAACGUAUUUCUCUUUUAAUUUUCUUCUUAUUUAUAUGUUAGGAUGAAUUAAGAUAUGAUUAAUUUGCAGGUUCAAAGUGAAGUUGAGGAAGACAAUCAUGGCGUAUCAGAAAAUUUAAGGUGGCUAGCAGCUGGUCCAAACAUGUCAGUGCCAUUAUAUAGGAGCUAUCUUAUUAAAGGUAUUAAAUUCAAUAUCAAGGCACAAGAUGAUGUGCGGACAACUCAAAAUAGUGGAGUUUAUUUACUUGCACAUACCAUGCAAGUUGCUAGUGCCAAGGAUAAAAACCCAAUUCUCUCAAAUAUGGGUUUCUAUGGUGUCAUUCAAGAAAUUUGGGACCUUGACUACCAAAAGUUUACAAUCCCAGUCUUUAGGUGUGAUUGGAUAGAUAGUUCUGGUCUUGUAGUCGACGAACUUGGAUUUACCCUUGUAGAUUUGAGUAAAAUUGGACAUAGGAAUGACCAAUUUGUUUUGGCUUCUCAAGUCAAACAAAUAUUUUUUGUUGACGACCCGAUGCAUCGUGGUUGGUCGGUAGUGUUAUCAAUGCCUAGUAGAGAAUAUAAUGAUGUUAUUGGUGAUGAAGUAUUAGGUGAUGUGAUAAUUGAGUGUGAGCCAUUUACUAGAGGGAUGCCAAAUGUUGACACAUUUGAUGAACUGGUAGGUGAGUUAGGCGGUCAAAAUAUUCGAGAUGGGUGUGAAGAUAUAUGGAUUGAAUGAUGCUUAUGUAAUUGGCAGUGUAUGACAUUAAUUUUGUAAUAUAUUGUAAUGUGAUUUCUUCACUUUCUACGUUCAAAUAAAACACGACGUUAUUGUGAAUCAGCAUAUUUACCGACGUCUUAAAGCAACGUAACAAUGAAGAACCACGACGCUAUUGUGAAGCAAUUAUUCAGGAUAUCACGUCGGUGAAGGAUAAAGAACCGCCAUGUAAUUCAAAAUAACACGACUCCAAUCCCAUAAUACCGACGUCUAAAAAACGAGAUAUAUAAUCUGAACGUUAAAAAAUACGACGUCAUCAUACAUUUUCCACGUCGCAAGUUCUUUUAUAAACGAAGAGGAACGAAAUUAAUUCCGACGGAAAUUCAUUAUAACCGCCGUCUAAUAACAAUUAAACGACGUUAUUUGUAAUACGGCUCCCAUCAUAAUCUACGCCGUCUAUAUGUUCUGUAAUACGGCUCUCAUUUAUUUGGAACCGACGUUGUUUAGACGUUCAACGUCGUCUAUAUUAUUAAGUGCGUCGUGAGUAAUGAAUACAUAUAAAUACAACGUCGACUAUAUAAAUGUAUACGUCGUAAAUAAUGACACUGACAACUAUUUCCACGUCAUCUUUUUUAGAAAAAUCGAAGUGGAAAAUUUAUUUCACGACGGUUUUUUGUAAAUAAGAGACGUUGUAGAACUUUAGCAGACUAAACACGUCUGUUUUUAUUGUUUUCCGACGUUGUUGUAUUUAACAACGUCUAAUAUUUAUGGUCGUUGUUUGUUUCUGAAAAUAGGACGUAUAAAUUUUUUAAUACGACUCUCAUAUAUUUGUAACUGACGUUGUUUAGUUUUUCAACGUCUACUAUAGAAACACAUACGUCGUAAAUAAUGACACUGACAACUAUUUCCACGUCAUCUUUUAUCGAAAAAUCGAAGUGGAAAAUUAAUUGUACGACGGUUGUGUUUAUAUGUGCGACGUAGUAGGUAUCAAUAACGUCGUCUUCUAAUGUAUUUAAAGACGUCAUAUUUUUUAUUGUCGUGAAAAUUAUAAUUAACGUCGGCGUAUUUUUAUUGUCGUCGUUGUAUGUCUAUCUUGCGGCUUUGUUCUCUUAAUAUGUGUCAUAUUUUCCCUUUUUAACGACGGUGUUUUUAGAGAAUUGGUCGUCUAUUAUCAUCCUCGAUUGCUUUUUUUAGAUCUUUUUGCAGUACAAAGACGUCGUUUUGUAUUUUUUGAUGACGUUGUAUUGUUUAACAACGACGGUUAUUUAGCGUCGUGGUUUUUGAGGGAAAAGAUGACGGUGGAUUCCACGACCAUUGAAAAACCAAAUACACGACGGUGAUUUACCGUCGUCUUUUUGCUUUUUUGUAGUAGUGUUUAGGAGCUUUGUAUAAAAUUUAAACUUCAAUUAUGCUCUCUAGUUUAGGGAGUCAUAAAUGCUAUAACUCUUUUUUUAUUGGUCCAUCUUUAUUAUAAAAUAAAAUAAAAAAUAGUUAGCAUUGAAUAAAGGUUCGAAAUACUCAAUAAAUAAAGCAGCAUUAAAUUAUAUGGAGCCACUAUGAGUCCUUUCUCUCUCCUCAGAUUUAGGAGCUCCUAGAGCUCUCCCUAUUUUAUGAGGUGGAUAGGAAGCAUAGUUGGAGUUGCAUUUUUACAAUUCCUCUCUAAAAUUUGUCUAAAGAGGUGGUUUAGGGAGCCCAUUGUAGAUGCUCUAAGGACUUAGAAUUAGGGUAAUGAUUAAACAGGUCAAGGUAAUGAUUAAACAGGUCCUUCAAUAAGUACGUUUAGUGUGGUUCUUUUCCUUUGACAAUUCACCAUUUUUUUGUUGUCAAAGUUUGGAAGGGGGAGGUGCCAUUGGGUUUAAGGUUCGAACUUAAGGUUACUGAUCUACAAACAAGUGCUCUUACCAUUGAGUUGUGGACCCGUUGGCUUGACAAUUCACCAUUUGAGUACUAAUUAUUAAUCCAGAAAAAGUCUUAUGUGCUGAGGGCUUGAGGUUGAUUCUUUGGAAUUAAUGAAAAAUAUUUCCUUCAACUGAUAAAAUGCAAAUUUACUAUCACACAGUAGCCAUAUAACAGCAAGAACAAGCAAUAUUACAAUACAUGUAGAAAUAUUACAAUGCAAAAGUUGAUAGUAAAGUUCCAACUUCCAAGAACAGUCUCUUCUUUCAUUGUCAUCUUUCUUCUCUCUCUCUCUCUCUCUCUUUCUCGCUCCAUGUAGGAAUUUAUUCUAACCAAUGCAUAACUUCUAUGCUUUCAUCCCCUAACAAUAUGGGCUUAGGUGAAAGAACACUAGGCUAGCUUUAGGGAACCAGAGGAGGGAGUGGCUUCCCAAGGAAAGGAUGUGGAGGAAAUGUUGGAAUGGGUGGAGGAAUUGGCUUCUUGAAAAUAGGAUGGGGAAAUGGUUUCUUGUAUACUGGAAUUGGUGGAGGAAGUGGCUUCUUGAAAAUAGGAUGGGGAAAUGGUUUCUUGUAUACGGGAAUUGGUGGAGGAAGUGGCUUCUUAUAGAUUGGAACAGGAGGUAGAGACGGCUUCUUGAAUUUCGGAAGGGGAUGAAAAAAUGGCUUCUUCACAAAUGGUUUUCCUUCCACAACUGAUACCGGCGGAUGACCCGGCUUCUUGAAGGGUGGAAUCUUGAAGACUGGAACAGGUGGAGGGAGUGGCUUCUUGAAGAUUGGAACUGGUGGUGGAAGUGGCUUCUUGAAGAAGGGCUUUGGUGGAAAUGGCUUCUUUACAAUGGGAAUCUUAGGUAGAGGGUGUUUCUUAAAGACAAACUUCCCUUCUUCAUUCAGCUCUGCAGCCUCUGUUUGCAGCUCUUCAAUUUGGACAUGUGCACAAAGAGAUGCAGAAGAAUGUUACGUAUCAGAAAAACAAUUAACAAAAAAAAUAACAAACCUAGAGAUUUCAGUAAGUAAUUCAAAAUAACGAGCAAUGAAGGGGUCUGUUUUGUAACUUCUGUUAUUGUAUUGUGCUACAUUGCGAGAGCUGUCAUGUAGCGUAAGUAGCUUCCUUCUAAAAGAAAAUUUGUAGUGUAAUCAAGUAGCCUAAAAGAACUAUUUGAUCACAUUAAGACUAAUAUGUAAUUACAUACACACACAUAUAAAUAUAUAUAUAUAUAUAUACACACAGAUUUUCUCCUAUGCGGACCUCUGGACGUUAUUACCGUGUGGAGGCUAUGUAUUUUCUACUACCUCUCUUUGUUCUCCUCCAUGUUUACAAUGGUAUCCGCAAGGUAAUAAUGUGCAGGGGUCUCAUGAAAGAACUCUAUAUAUAUAUAUAUAUAUUAUAUCUCACCUGAAUAAGCUCUGUCUAGUGCUUGUUCUCCAGCUUCCUCAAUAGUCUCUGCAUUGCUGUAGCAGAAGCUUACAGCAAACAAGCACAACCAGAGACCCAGAAGGGCCCUUUGGAAAGUAAGACGGGUCUGCAUUGAAAAACCCUGCAACACUAAAAUGGUAUAGAAGUAGUAAAUCCAACUUUUACAAGUUGGUUAAGCUGGCUUUG
RNAcentral lists this long non-coding RNA (57382 nucleotides) under Prunus persica (peach). RNAcentral's name for it is "long non-coding RNA (PPER_LNC001793)". The record is from RNAcentral. Lineage: Eukaryota; Viridiplantae; Streptophyta; Magnoliopsida; Rosales; Rosaceae.